Molecule: long non-coding RNA, 44293 nt
Filed under: Gossypium raimondii (Peruvian cotton)
Lineage: Eukaryota; Viridiplantae; Streptophyta; Magnoliopsida; Malvales; Malvaceae
Description: long non-coding RNA (GRAI_LNC007809)
Source: RNAcentral
AUUGCUCAGCAAUUGAGUGUUACAUGGAAGAAUAUGGUGUAACAGCACAAGAGGCAUAUGAUGUAUUCAACAAGCAUGUUGAGAGUGCUUGGAAGGAUGUGAAUCAAGAGUUUCUGAAACCAACAGAAAUGCCAACAGAAGUUUUGAAUCGUAGCUUAAACCUUGCAAGGGUGAUGGAUGUACUCUACAGAGAAGGUGAUGGCUACACAUAUGUUGGAAAAGCGGCUAAGGGUGGAAUCACUUCAUUACUCAUUGAACCAAUUGCACUUUGAAAUCGUAUUAAAUUUUCCUCUUCUGUUCCUUAAGGAAUAGUUAUUAAGUUAUAAUUAAUAAUGUUUUAUAAUAUAUAUAUUAUAAAAGAAAUUCUAAAUCAACUGUCUUUGUAUUCAUUUCCCUGUAUUGAUCUAAUAAAGUUCUUUUCAAGCUUUCAUUUGUGAAAAAUCUGCUAUUUUAUAUUUUAUAUUUUAAUUUUCCUUCUUUCGUUGCUAUAGCUUUGAACACAAAAUUUAGAGUAUGAUCCUAUCAUGCUCUUCCUUUUUACCAACAUUGUUGUCACUUUCAAUGAUUUUUCUCUUCUUCGCCAUAACAUUAUCAUCAAGAUUGCAUGUGAUAAAGUUUUGCCAUUCAGAUAGCCUUUUCAAGGCUCGCCACUAGAAGCUCACUUAAAUAGGGAUACUUGUUAAUAAAAUAUGUUUGUUGUCCUUGUUUUUAGGCAUAUAUUUGCUGCACAUCAAGGAUUUAGUGGCUACAGAUCAUGGGUUUAUUUGGUUUAGAUUUUUUUUCCUUAGUUGUUAAGAGUCCUAUUCUGAGUCGUUUGUUGUUAGUGUGCGAUUUCUUGAUUUUUCUAUCAUGUAAUUGCCUAUAUAAUAGGUUCUUGAGGUUGUGAAUAAAUGAGUUGAUCAUCUUAUUUUCCCUUUCCUUUAUUUUUUUCAUCUUGCUGUUAUCUCCUUAGUAAGCUAAUAGUUGUGUCAGAGCCUGGUAAAAGAAGAGUAUUUUCGGUGAGAGAAAAAUGUUUAUGGUCCUCUUAUGGCUUUUGAAAAUUGUUUGCAACUACCUAUUCCACAUUUUGACGGUCACUAUGACCAUUGGAGAUGUUGAUGGAGAACUUAUUAUAGUCCAAGGAGUAUUGGCAAGUCAUUAAGCACGGUAUAGCAACACCAACAGAUGGAGAAAAGCUUACAGAAUACAACAAAAAAGACUUGAAGGGGCUGAAGUUCAAAGAUUUGAAAGCAAAGAAUUACUUAUUUCAAGCUGUUUCGAUCCUAGAAACCAUUCUUUGCAAAGAAACUUUCAAGGAUAUUUGGUACUCCAUUAAGACAAAAUGUCAAGGCUCUUCCAAAGUGAAGCGUGCAUAGCUUCAAGCUCUUUGGAAGGACCUUGAGGUUCUUCGGAUGGAGGAUGGUGAGUCCAUUAUAGACUAUUGUGCAUGAACCAUGGGAAUCAUGAGUAAUAUGUGAUUUCAUGGUGAGAAGAUGAAUGACACAACCAUUGUUAAGAAGAUACUACGGUCCUCAUCACCAAAGUAUGAUUAUGUUGUCUACUCAAUUGAAGAAUCCAAUGACAUUGAUGCACUCACCAUUGAUGAACUCCAGAGUUCCUUGUUGGUCCAUAAAUAGAAGAUGAAUAGAACUUCUACCCCCAAUGGAGCAGGCUUUGAAAGCUUCAACUCAUUCUUUCAAAAGAAGAAAUGGAGGUCAAGGAAAGGGAAGAGACAGAUGAGACAGUUGGAAUAAAAAUAGUGGCAGGUAUGCCAGAUCAGAUGAUAAAGGCAAACAACAAGAUCGACAAUUUGACAAGUCAAAGGUAGAAUGUUUUGGAUGUUAUAAGUUUGGUCAUUAUUGUUUUGAAUGUCGUACUAAUCUAUCAAUGAUAAGGAAAAGGGAGAAAAGUCAAAAUUUUCAUAAAAAGAAGCUAAAACCUUGUUAAUGGCAAUUCAUGACAAGCAAGAGAAGCCACAAAACUCAUGUUUAUGGUAUGUGGAUACAGGCUGUAGCAACCACAUGUGCGGUAAUAAGUUUUCUUUCUCUUAUCUAAAUGAAGACUUUCACAUUAAUGUGCCUUUUGGAGAUAAAUCUAUUGUUGAUGUAGUGGGAAAGGGUGGUAUUAGUAUAAGAACCAAUAAUAGUUUUGUAGAAACAAUGUCCCAUGUUUUCUUUGUGUCUGCUUUGAAAACUUAUUAAGUGCUGGUCAAUUGCAAGGAAAAAGAUAUGUGAUUACGGUAUCAAAAAGUGAUUGUGAAAUUUAUGAUCCUUCUAGAGGUGCUAUUGCAGUGGUUCCAAUGAGUUCCAACAGGUUGUUUCCAUUAGUGAUUGAUUGUUUUCAACCUUGCUUGAUGGCUAAAGUGAAGGACAACACAUGGCUUUGGCAUUUUUGAUGUGGUCAUCUUAAUUUUGAGGGUUUGAAGACUCUUUGGUAGAAAGAGAUGGUCAACGACCUCCCUCAGAUUGUCAUUCAAACCAUGUGUGUGAAGAUUGUGUUGUUAGCAGACAACAUCAUGAACAAUUUCCCAAAAUAAAGUUUUAGAUAGCAAAACAUGUGCAGGAAUUGGUCCAUUUAGAUAUCUGUGGACCAAUAAAACCAUAAUCUAAUGGAGGUAAAAUUUAUUUCUUUACUUUCAUCGAUGAUUAUUUCCAAAAAUUGUGGGUUUACUUUUUGCAGGAGAAAUCGGAAGCAUUUAGUGCAUUUACUAGCUUCAAGGCACUUGUUGAGAAUGAAAUCGGGAAAACCAUUCAAGUUCUUCGCAUUGAUUGUGGUGGAGAAUAUUGUUUCAAGGAAUUUGAAGCAUUUUGUGAGAGCCAUGACAUCUGGAAAAAGCUUACCACUGCAUAUACCUCCCAAAAAAAUAGCGUAUAAGAGAGGAAAAACAGAACCAUACUUAAUAUGGUGAAAAGCAUGCUUGCUAGUGGAAGGGUCUUAAAAUAAUUUUGGGCAAAAGGAGUAAAUUGGAGCAUCCAUGUCUUGAAUAGAAGCCCAACUUUUGCUGUUCAAAACAUGACACCUGAAGAAGCUUGGAGUGGAAGGAGACCAGCUGCAGAUCACUUCAAAAUUUUUGGUUGCAUUGCUUAUGCACAUGUUCCAAAUGUAAAGAGAAAGAAGCUUAAUGUCAAAGGAGAGAAGCGUGUCUUUCUAGGUGUAAGUGAAACAUCUGAAGUGUAUAAAUUGUUUAAUCCUUUAAAGGAGAAAAUUGUGAUUAGCAGGGAUGUAAUUUUUGAUGAGGAGAAUACUUGGAAUUGGGAUGACAAACAACCUUUUCAAACCUUUGUUGGUACUGAAGUUGAAGAUGAAAAGCAGUAGCCUUUAGAUUAGUAGACUCAAGCAACACUUAAGCUUAAGAGUUCACCAAAUAAUACUCUAAUAAGUAGUUGAACCUCAUCCUAGCUAUAUUUGACGGAGACCAGCUUGGAUAGGAGAUUUUUAGGUAAUCAGCGUUGGGCAGACUGAAGAUCCAACCAUCUAUUUUGCUUUAUUUGCGGAUUGUGAUCUAACAACCUUUGAAAGUGCUGUAAAUGAGUCAAAAUGGAGAAAAACAAUGGAUGAAAAAAUUGCAGUAUAGAGAGGAAUGAUACAUACAAGUUCACUAAACUUCCAAAAAGGCACAAGACAAUUAGUGUCAAAUAGGUGUACAAGACAAAGUUGAAGGAGAAUGGAGAAGUUAAUAAGUAUAAGGCACAUUUGUGGCUAAAGGUUAUAAAUAGGAGUUUGGGGUAGAUUACAAAGAAGCCUUUGCUCCUGUUCCAAGGCAUGAUACAAUCAGAUUGGUGAUUUCACUUAUAGUCUAAUACUCUUGGCCUAUCUUCCAACUAGAUAUGAAUUCGACAUUUUUACAUGGUGAGCUCAAAGAACAGGUUUUUAUUGAACAACAUACUGGUUAUGUUAAACAUGAAAGUGAAAAUAAAGUUUAUAAACUAAAAAAAGGCUUUAUAUGGGUUGAAACAAGCCCCACAUGCUUGGUAUAGUCGAAUUGAAGCUUAUUUCUUGAAAGCUGGUUUUCCCAAGUGUCCUUAUGAGUCUACUCUUUUCAUUAAAACUGGUGAUAAAAGGAAAAUACUUAUUGUGAGUUUAUAUGUUGAUGGUUUUAUUUUCAUUGGAAAUUGUAGUUCCAUGUUUAAUGGAUUCAAGAAGUCUGAUGGUUGAGUUUAAAAUGUCAGAUCUUAGUAUGAUGCAUUAUUUUCUAGGCAUAGAAGUAGUGCAAUCAACUAAUGGAAUAUUUUUUUCUCAAAGGAAAUACAUUCAAGAUAUUCUGAGCAAGUUUGACAUGAAGGAUUGCAAUCUAGCAAGCACCACCAUUGAGUUUGGCUUGAAGUUGAGCAAAGAAGGAAAGUAAGUGGACAACACUUUUUAUAAGCAGAUUGUAGGCAAUUUAAUGUACUUGAUUGGUACAAGACCUGACAUAAUAUAUUUUGUGAGUUUGAUCAGUAGGUUUAUGGAGAAUCCUACAGAGAUGCAUUUAUUGGUUACUAAGAGAAUCCUUCGUUACUUGCAAAGAACCAUAUAUUUUGGGUUGUUUUACAAAAAAGGAGAAUUUUAAUAUCUAUUUAGGUUCAUUGACUGUGACUGUAGGAGAUCUAGAUGAUAGAAAAAACACUUCAGUUUAUGUUUUCAUGAUGGGAAUCGGAGUUGUUUCAUGGUCAUCCAAGAGGCAAUCUAUUGUUCCUUUGUCAACAACUGAAGCUGAAUUUGUUGUUGCAACAACCUGUGCUUGUCAAGCUAUUUCGUUGAGAAAAAUCUUGGAGGAGCUGAAAUUCAAGAGAAUGGGAGCUACAAUAAUUUUUUGUGACAACAACUCAGUUAUCGGAUUCUCAAAAAAUCCAGUAUUACAUGGUAGAAGCAAGCAUAUUGAUGUGAAGUACUAUUUUUGAGAGAUCUUAACAAUGAUGGGGUAGUUGAUCUUAAAUGCUGCAAGAGUAAAGAUCAGCUGGAUGACAUAUUCACCAGACCUGGCAAAUUAUUUCCCUUAUUGUGAGUCCUAUUGUGAGCCUUAUUAUGUUAGUGCCUAAUUUCUUGAUUUUUCUGUUAUGUAAUUGCAUAUAUAAUAGGUUUUUGAUGUUGCGAAUAAAUGAACUGAUCAUCUUAUUUUCCCUUUCCUUUAUUUUUUUCAUAUUGCUGUUAUCUCUCUUAGUAAGCUAACAGCACCUUCACCUCUUUAAGCCCUACCAUUAUCAACUUGCCCUUUAGAAUCAGUGCUACAAAGCUCUCCUUUCAAACUCACCAAGAAGCUCCACCAACAAAAUGUCUACACCAUCAACAUCACCUCUCUAGGCAAGCCAAUGACAACACAUUACACCUUGCCCAAAAAUAUUAUCUCAUGGAAGGCCACUUUAUAAUCUCUUGCUCAAUUGCAAUAGAGGGGUGAUCCACCCAAGCACACUUACAUAAAAAUGGAACAAAUAAAAUCAAUUAUAUCAACAACGUAGGCACCACAUUAUCAUAAGCAUGAUGGUGUCAAAUUAUAAUAUAGUAGUUACAAUGGAACACUUACAUAAGUACUCCAAGGAUCAUUCUUCCACAUGGAUUGAUAAAGGAAGUCCAUAACCAAACAAACAAAUUUGGCCAUUACAAAUACAAUGAGGUAAACUUAAAUGAUCUUUGAAUAGUUAGGUGACCAAAGGGUAAACUUACUAGUUGUUGAGUGGCUAUAAGUGUAGUUUACCAAUUCUUUAAUGUUUAAGAUUACUUUUGUUUAAAUCUUACCUUUUUGCUUCAAAAUUAUUGGUGUUCUUGGUUGGUUGAAAAACUAGAGGAAUGGGAGGAAGGAGUGGAAAAGUGGAAAGAAAAUAAAAUUUAAUUGUACUUCGUAGGGAAUAAAAGUGAGAGAAAAGAAAAUAGGAGAGAUAAUCAUUUUUCAUCUUAAUGCAUAGAAAUCAAUCCUUCCAAAUUGGAAAGAUGAGAGGAGAGAAUAUUAUAAAGAUGUGUAUGUUAGUUUAAAAUUAUGCUAUUUUCUUUCAUUUCAUUUUUUAACUCUAUCAAACAAUAGAGGGAAAGAAAAUUACUUUGUUUUUCCACUUUUUCAUUUCUCCUAUCAAACACAACUACGGAAAGAAAAUUUAUGUUUUCCAUCCUUCUAAUUUUCAACCCCUUCAAUAUUCCAUCUUUCCAAUUUUCUUUCCACUCCAACAAGCAAAGCGAAAAUGUCUAGAGACAAAAUUGUUGACUUUUAUAAUUGUUAUAACAAACGUCGAUAAUGACAAUAGCAUGAUCGCAAAGUAUGAAAAAAAUAAGAACACACAGAUUUUACGUGGAAACCCUUUCGGGAAAAAACUACGGACAAAGGAGAAGAAAUUUACUAAUGUUGAAAAACGAAUAAUACAGGAGAAGUUUCGACUACAUCUAUUAAAAAGGUUAAAAAAUCCUAUUAUAAUCAAUAUCAAAUAGAAUAAAUAUAGUUCUUCAACAAGUGACGGGAUUUGGGUCACACAAACUCUAACAAUAAUUAAUGAAUUAAUUUAGUCUUUUACUUCAUAAUACAAUGACCCACAUUGUGAAAUUUCCAUUUCUGUUUUAGAAAAUUUCUAAAAAAAAGUUGUUUAGAAAUAAUCUUCUCAUGAGUUGUAAGUAAAAAAUCCAGUAAUAUUAUUAAAUAUUUAGUAAUAUUACAAGAAAUCUGUAUUCCUAAUAUAAGUAGCUUUGUAAAAGACUUAGUAAUUUACAUUGUAAGAAAUUCAAUAAUUUAUUGAAAAUGUUACAAUGUUGUAGCAAAUUCAGUAUUUUAAGUAGCCCACACUAAAUCUUUUUUAAAAUUACUGAAUUUAUAAUAAUUACUGAAUUACUUACAUGAUUACCAAAAAAAACUUCAACUAUUACUGAAUUCAUUAUGACAUUUUUUAUUUAUCUAAUUUCUUAAGGAAUUCUAUCAGUAAUUCAAUAAUUCUUUAAGAGUUUUAGUAAUUCAGUAUUUUUACGAAAUUUAGUAAUUUACGAAAUUAUGAAAAAUUAGGUAAACAUUAAAAUGUUUUAAGAUAUUCAAUAAUUGAUUUAGGUUAUUCAAUAUAUUUUAAUUUUAAUUUUAGUUUGGCCAUAAUAAGCACUUUUGUUCCUUGGGUUUGUGGGUUUGCUGCAAAUUAGAAAGGUUUCAUCAAUUUUUUAUUUAUUUCUCUAGGUUAUUAGAGUGAAUUCAAUAAUUAAUCCUCCACAUUCAAUAGGUCCAUUAAGGGGUAGAUGCGGACAACGAGUUUUAAAAUUACUCCAUACCCAGGAUAAUAAUUGAACAUUGGGCCACUGGUUAAGAUAGAAGAGACCCUUAACAUCUCAUUUAACUCCUGUGGCUAAAGGGUUCGUUAAUUUUAACAAUAUGUUUUAAGCUUCGUUAUGAGUUAACCCUUCACUCUCCUAGCUACAGAACUAAACUAAAGCAUCAACUUCUAGCUCCCCUUACCAUCAUGCAAUGGUCAUUUCGUGCUUUCAUAAAAUAAAAGUCCAUUUCAAAAGAGAGAAAUCUGAAUAAAAGAUUCAUCAUUAGCAAUAAAAAACAUGAAGAAAUUGAGAAGAAAACAAAAGAAAGAAAAGAGACAUGCCCAUUUCAGAAGGUGGAAAGCCUAAACUUUAGUUUAGAUUUUUAGGGAUUUCUAAGAAGUUUUUUUUUCGAAAAUCAAGCAAAGGAUUGGAUUUGAAAUUUUAGUUUUUUUUUCAUAUAUAUUUUAGUUUUUUUAAAAUUUUUAUAUCAUUUUUAUUUAAAAAUUUUUAGGAACUAUAAAAAAGAAAUAUAUAUAUAUAGUGAUUAGUUCUGCAAUUCAACUUAAAUUUUUCAUCUAACAUAAUUACUUAACAUGUUACGUUAGCUUACUGUUAUUUUAUUAAUGAUAAUUAAUAGCUCAAUAACUAGAUAUUACAAAUCGAUAACGUUAGUGACCAUUUUGUAACAAAUUAAAAUCCAAUGACUAAAAUGUAAUUUAAACCAUAGAUAAAUGAAUAUUUUUAUAAUUUAUCCUAUAUAAUAUUAUAUAUAUGUACCUCAAGAAAAAAAAAUAUCAUACAUAUGCACGCCAAACUAUAUAUAUAUUUAAUGUUAAGUUUCUAAUAUACAAUAUUUAUAAUAUUUAUAAAAAUUAAAUUUUAAGUUUAAAAAUUAUGAAAAAUUUUAAAAAUCUAAAAGUUUCAAACUACACCAACUGACCACAUGCUUGUUGGAAAUACUUAAAUUCAAUGCACAAUAAAAUACUAAAAAGAAAGGAGUUAAUAUAUGUUAACUUUGUUGAUGUGGUAUAUAUGUAAAUUACUAUGUGAAUGAAAUCUCAACAAUUAAAAUUUUUAAAUUUUAGAAAGUUUAACCAAAUAUAUAAAAAAAUAUUUUAAAAUUUAAAAUCAUUUUAAAAAUUUUAAAAAUAUAUUUUAAAAAUUUUAAAAAUUAAUUAAUUGUUAACGUGGCACAUACGUGGAUGCCAUAGUAAUAAAGUUAACAAACAUUAAUUUUUCCAUCCAGUUUGGGAUGAUUUGACAAACAAUGCAAAUUCAAGAGCUAAAAGAGACGAAAAAUUAAAUGAAGAACUAAAAUGACAUUUUAUAAAGUUGAAGGGCUAAAUAAAUUAUUAUGCUUUUUUAAUAACCGUUAUUUCUUUCUUUUUUUUAACAUGCCAAAUUUAAAAUAUGUAUAUUAAAUAUUUAAUUUUAUAUUGUGUGCGAAAUUAAUUGAUUUGGUUUAAUAUAAAUAAAAAUGUAAUACUUAAUUACUCAGUAUUAGAUAAGUUUACUAUCAAUUAGUAAAAAGUAAUUAUAAUAAGUGAAAGUUAUUUUUAGAAUUUAAAGUUUAUCCAAAUGAAUUAUUAAUGCCAUUAGUAGAACUACGAAUGCACAAUAAGGGAAGAAUAUAUCAAUUUUAUUGAUAAAUCUAGACGCCUUUAGUGAAAUUUGCUGAUUCCCUUUGAAUAUUGUUUUUAAAAUUAUGAGUUCCAAAUAUAAAAUUCUAGUAUUGACUGAAUCAUACAACUAUAGAAUUCAAUUUGAAAAAAAUAUGUUAAAUUAAUUGUGAAAAAUACCUUAUUUAAAGAGUCAAGCCGACAUUUUUUUUUUCUUUCUUUUUAUUAUUAUAAAUAUGAAGUAAACAAACACCUGUUAAAUAAUUAUAUUCAUGUUGAAAUUAAAGCGUCCGGUGAAUUUAAAAAUUCUUUUUAGAGGGCCUGAAAAUGAAUUAUAUAUCGUUUCGAUAGUAAAAAAGUAAUUUCAUCAUUUUAAUAGUUUAUAUCUUUAUAAUUUUUAAAGAAUUAAAUCAAAAUUUAUUAUUUUUAGGGUCAAAGUACAAUUUUAUCAUUACUAAUUUGAAAUUUUAUAAAUUAUAAAAAACUUUAAAUAGAAAAUUUUCCAUUUUAAGGGGAACCGAAAUUCCUCUGGCUCCGCCCGACACACAUCACAGUUGCACAUAAUUAAUUAAUAGAUUAAAUCUUAUUACAUGUUUCUCAUUUUUAUUUCUUAUUUCAACGAAUUCAUCGUCACUAAGAUUGACUAAUUUGUCCUUUACAAUGAUCCAAAAGACUUUUCAACACUCUCAGUCUAAGGGGUUCCUCCGGAGUCCGUAUAUUAUGUUUCAAGUCAAUAAUUUUACUGUUUUUUUAUGGAUGCUGAAAAUAUGAUCAAUGUGCCCCUUUUCCCCCCUUAAAUUAUCUCAUUAUGCUGAAAAUUAUGUUAAAUUAAUUGUGAAAAUAUGUUAUUGAAAUAGUCAAGCCUUUUUUUUAAUGCUUUUACUAUUAUAAUGGCAGUACACUUGCAAAUAUAAAUUCAUGUUUAAGGCAAAGAAUUGAAAACAAUUCAUCAUUAGAUAUUUAUGAGUUAAAAGUUGGGUUGAGUCGAGAUCUAGUUUAAAAUAUUUUUCAAGUUUAAGUCUAUUUUCGGGUUAAAAAUUAAUAAAAUAUUAAAAAUAAAUUUUUAAUUGUUAUUUUAUAUAAUUUUAGAAUUAAAUUUUAAUUUUAAAAUAUUUUUUAUUAUUUAAAUUGAAUUCAAGUCAGGCCGGUUCGAACUGCAAAAAUUCUUGUCCAAAUCUGAUCUAAAAACUAAACUCAAUUACCCAAAUUAUUUAAAUUAUUUAUACUAUGUUAAUUAGCAAUUUAAAAAAUUUGUAAAAGUUGAACGUCGACAAUAACAAUAUAGAACGAUUGCAAAGCAAAAGAAAGAAAAAAUAAGAACACGAAGAUUUUACGUGGAAACCCUUUCGGGAAAAAAAGACCAUGGGUAGAGGAAAAAAAAAUUCACUAAUGUCGAAUUCGAAAGAUACAAGAGGAGUUUAGACUACGUCUAUUUAUAGGUUGAAAAAUCUUAUUCUAAUCAAUGUCAAAUUAUUAAAGAGUAGUAAGGUUAAAAAACCUUAUUCUAAUCAAUGUAAAGUAAAAGAAGUAUAGUUUUAUAUGAAUUUUAUUUUAUUUUUAUUUUAACAAGGACUCAAGUCACUCAACUCUAACAAUCUCCACCUUGACAUGAAUUCUCAACGAACAAGUUCUUCACCACGAACUCUUAACGAACAAGUUCUCCACCUAUCCCACGAAACCCUUUAAAGGGUGUUCUUCAACAAUGAAUACCAGUCAAGUCCAAGCAAUACUCAAACUUCUUGGUUAUAGGAAGUGGCUUAGUCAUCAUAUCCGUAGGAUUUUCAUGAGUACUAACUUUGCUCACAACAAUAUCACCACAAGCAAUAAUAUCAUGCACAAAAUCAUACCGAACAUCAAUAUGAUUUGUUCUCUCAUGAAACAUUUGAUCCUUCGUAAAGAAGAUGACACUCUGACUAUCACAAAACACUGUAUUGAUCUGAAGGUCUUUACUGAGUUCACCAAAGAGUCUCUUUAACCAAAUAGUUUUUUUACAAGCCUCGGUAAUCGCCAUGUACUCAGCUUUAGUAGUAGACAAAGCAACUGUAGUUUGCAAAGUAGCUUUCCAACUGAUUGUGCAACCUCCAAUUGUAAAGACAUACCCUAUGAGAGAUCUUCUUUUAUCAAGGUCUCCAGCAAAAUCAGAAUCAACAUAUGUAAUGACUCCAUCCCUAGUUCUUCCAAACUAUAAGCAAACAUUAGUAGUACCUCAUAAGUAUAUGAAAAUCCACUAAACUAUUUUCCAGUAUUCUUUAUUGGGAUUCGCCAUGUAUCUACUAAUUGCACUAACUAUACAUGACAAAUCUGGACAUGAGCAAACCAUAGCAUACAUGAGAGAUCCCAUUGCACUAGAAUACUGAUUGCAAAGACAAAACCGAUGAAAGUCUAAAGUGGGUUGCUAAUAGGGUCCUAAUAGGCUUGGCAUUCUGCAUAUUGAACAUGCAAAGAACUUUUUCAAUGUACCAUUUCUAACUUAGGUACAAUUUACAUGCUUUUCUAUCUCUGAGAAUCUCCAUCUCAAGUAUCUUCUUUACUGCUCCCAAACCCUUUAUCUCAAAUUCUUUAUUAAGUUGGGCUUUGACCUUUCUUAUCUCUUAUUUAUCUUUGGCUGCUAUCAACAUGUCAUCAACAUAGAAGAGUAGAUACACAAAAGAACCAUCACUGUUUUUCUUAAAAUAAAAACAACUGUCAAAGUUGCUUCUUUUGAAAUCAUGAGGAGUCAUAAAAAAAUCGAACCUCUUGUACCACUGCCUUGGUGACUGUUUCAAGCCAUAAAUGGACUUUUUCAACAAGCAAACAUAGUCAUCCUUUUCUGAUACAGUAAAAUCUUCUGGUUAUUGCAUGUAAAUAUCUUCCUCAGAUUCCCCAUGCAAGAACGUUGUAUUUACAUCUAACUACUCAAGCUCCAAAUCAUACAUGGCCACAAUACCAAAUAAGGCUCGAAUCGAAGUAUGUUUCACAACUGGAGAAAACAUAUCUAUGAAGUAUACACUUGAAAUCUGACUAUAACCUUUUGCAAUCAGCCUUGCUUUAUACAUGGGUUCUUCAACUUCAGAGUUCCUUAUUUCUUUUUGAACACCCAUUUACAACGAACAACCUUUUUACCUUUAGGAAAUCUUACUAGAUCCCACGUUCUAUUCUUAUAGAGCGAUUCCACCUCUUCUAGCGUGGCAAUCAUCCAUUUUCUUAAAUCUUCACAAUUAAUUGCCUCAGAAUAAGUAGAUGGCUUUUGAUUUGCAUCUAUAUCUUUAGCCACAUUUAAAGCAUAAGCAACUAGGUCGACCUCAACGUACCUCUUUGGAGGUUUAAUUUCUCUUCUAGGUUUAUUCUUGGUAGUAGAAUAUUGUGGUGAAGAACAACUCUACUCUAAGUUUUUAUACUAACUUAAGUGUUGGAUCACCAGCACCCCUAUGGCGCAGCGAAAAAAAUUAAAAUCGGCGACCCUAACCAUGGAUCCAUGUGUGAAGAACGAAUCGGGGUGAAAAGAUUACGAAAUUACCUAAUAUUUCGAUUAAGAAGAUAGUAACUUCUCGACAAUGUGUAGUCUGAUUUACAGUCAAACCAAGCCGCAAUCUAUCGAGACUCCAACCUCUACGUAAUCCACCCAGUUGACUACGAACGGAAGAAAAUCCCCAAAACAGUUUUGAGAGUUAUAUUUUUUUACGGCUGCUAGACCUUAAAAUAAUGAAAAACGGGAUUCUAAUAUAUCUCUUUUAUUUUUAGGGUUUUUAGGAAUUAAAUAAAUAUAAUAAUAUUUUAAACCGAAAAUUUUAAUUACAUUAAUUAUAAUAUAAUUUCGGUAAACCAUAUAUUUAUUUAAAUUCAUAUGCUAAUCAAAUUCAUGUCCUCAUUAUGCGUACAACAACCUUGUACAUAAUGUGUUGGAAAUUUGAUUACUGAAUUAAAUUAAUUCUAUAAUUAAUUUAAUUCAAGUGACACCCAAAAAUAAAACCAACUAUGGUUUAUUCCGUUCAUUUCAACUAUAGUGUGUGACCUUGUAGGUUCUUGUAACGUUAGCAGUAAUACUAGAACGAUUCCAAUGUUACAAACAAUGAGUGGCAUCUAGCAAUGCAUCAUUCUACCUAAGUCACAAGAGAUCAUGAUUCGACAUAACCUUUUAUGAUUAACCUUUUAUGCAAUAAUCCUUAAGUCCUUUAUCUCUGGAUUGGACACAAGUCAUGGAAUAGUCACACUUGUAUAGUCCAUUCCAUGUUCCUUGAUAUCUUAAGCAGACUACGAUAUACACAUAAGUAUGACAUCUCAUAUCAACUUAUUUGAGCAUGGCCAUGCAUUUCUAGUCUCACUUAAUCAAGUGGCCUAAGAUAUUACUCCCAUUAUGUAGGAGGGACUUAUUCUAUAUCGACCAACCAUAUCCCUCUACAUCGAUUGUGAUAUAUCCAACAUCAGCCUUUAUAGAACAACCAGUUACGGUGUACGUUUAACUGUAUCAAAAUAUAUUACUCACGAUGUUGGGAUUAUGAUGAUCUCAAGUCUGAGGAUCAUAUACAUAUUAAUCACUAUGAGUAAUGUCGUGACAAUUACAUAAUAAUCCAAGAGANNNNNNNNNNNNNNNNNNNNNNNNNNNNNNNNNNNNNNNNNNNNNNNNNNNNNNNNNNNNNNNNNNNNNNNNNNNNNNNNNNNNNNNNNNNNNNNNNNNNAGUCCAAUAUGUUGUUCUCUAACACACAUAUUCAUGCAUCGAUUCUGACAUUCCAUAUCAAUGACAACUCUUUAUCAUCAAUCAACUACAUGUUAGUCUUAAUGCAUUAUCCUUGUCCUAUCCAACAAUAAUACUUGACUAAGGAUCUUUUAAGAAUAAUCAUAUUAUUCUUAGGACAUUAUUAUAAAACAGCUUAUUUAUACACACAGAAAAGAAACUGAAAUAAUAAUGGUAACGCCUUAUAUUAAUAAACAUGAUAAAUCAAGUAUGUUAUUACAAUCAUCUCAUGAUUGGUCUUUGGGCAUACUCUAACAUUAAGAAGUAGACUCUGUUAUAGAUCCUGGAUCAAUCUGAAGCUCCACCUGUUUUUCCUGGUUAUUAUUGGAAGAGUUUUUAAGAGAUAAGUUAGGUAGCAUAGCAGUUUCAUAAAAAAAUAAUAUCUCUGCUAAUCACAACUUUUCUAUUUUCAGGACACAAUAAUUUAUAUCCUUUAACACCAGCCUUAUAACCAAGAAAAAACACAUUUAAUGGAUCUAGGUUCUAAUUUCCCACUAUCAACAUGAGCAUACACAGGACACCCAAAAAUUCUCAAAUUAGAAUAAUCAGUAGGAUUACCAGACCAUACAUUUUGUGGAGUCUUUUUCUCAAUGGCAACGAACAGAGACUGGUUAAUCGAAAAACAUGCAGUACAGGCCACUUCAGCCCAAAAUGACUUCGGUAAACAAGCAUUCGAUAACAUACAUCAAACUUUUUCCAUGAUUAUUCUAUUCAUCCAUUGUGCAAUGCCGUUUUGCUGUGGAGUAUGACGAACUGUCAAGAGUCGCAUGAUUCCUUUUGAUUUGCGCAAUUUAAUAAACUCAUCAAAACAUAAUCCCAUGCCAUUAUCUAUACGGAGGUGUUUUAUCUAUUUUCCUGUCUAGUUAUUGAUCAUAGUUUUCCAAGCCUUAAACACAAAAAACACAUCACUUUUCUGCAAAAAUCAUCAAUGAUUGUUAUCAUAUAAUUAGCGUCACCCUUCGAAGGCACUCUGGAUGUUCCCCAAAGAUCAGAAUGAAUAUAAUCCAGCAUUCUCUUCAUGUUAUGGAUUCCUCUAGUGAAUCAAACUCUCUUUUGCUUCCUAAAAACGCAGUGCUCACAAAACUUUAGUUUGCUAAUGCCUUGUCCAUCAAAAAGUCUUCUUUUGCUUAAUUCUACCAUGCUAUUCUCACUCAUAUGCCCUAGACAUAUAUGUCAAAGUCUAGUAACAUAAUCAUCUAACAAGGAAGAGGAAGCGACGGCUGCAUCACCAGUAACAGUAAAACCUUGCAAAACAUAUAACUUGGCAAUCUUUCUCUGCCCUUUCAUCACAAUGAGGGAAUCCUUACUAAUCUUUAGAACUCCACUUUCAGCUGUGCACUUGUGCCCUUUUGAAUCAAGAGUACUCAACAAAAUCAAAUUCCUCUUCAAUCAUGGUAAAUGUCAUAUUCCACUAAGUGUUCUGAUGACUCUAUCGAACAUUUUAAUUUUGAUCGUGUCAAUACCUGUGAUUUUACAUGAAGCAUUAUUUCUCAUCAAAACAACACUUUCAGACACAAUUUCAUAGGUUGUAGACCAAUCUCGAUUUGGACUCAUAUGGAACGUACAAUCAGAAUCGGGGAUCCCCUCCUCGCUCACUUUAAAUUUGUUGGCAAAAAUAACUAGAAGUUCACCAUCACUGUAGUUUUCUGCUACAUCAGCUUCACCGGAUUGUUCUGGUUGUUUUCCCUUUUGAUUCACAAUCUCCCUUUUGAUCUUGUUUUACAACUUAUAGCACUUAGAUUUAAUGUGCCCUUUCAUCUUGCAAAAGUCACAGGUUUUACCUUUGUUUGAAGAUCUUGAUCUACCCUUAAAUUUGCUGCUAGGAUUUCGCUCUUAUGUCCUCUAACGAUUAUCAUCAGUAUUUUGUUCUUGUCUACCACGAACAGUGAGACCCUUUCCCUGAGAGUCGGAUCCAACUACAGGAUGUUUCAUCUUGUCAUACGAGGCUAAAGGAGCAUAGACUUCAUCAACUGUGAUAGAUUCACAACUAUACAAAAUCGUAUCUCUAAAGGUUGAAUAAGACGGGGUAACGAAUAAAGUAGAAUUAAACCUAAAUCUUCUUUGUCAUACUAAACCUCCAUGGCCUCUAGGUCAGAGAGAAUUUUUUUAAACACAGUUAAGUGUUCGUGUACAGACGCACCUUCCUCCAAAUGAUAAGCAUAAAGACGCUGGUUAUAUGCAACUUGCUAGUUAAGGUUUUCGACAUGUAUAAUUGUUGCAACUUUGCCCGUAAUGCACCGACGAUCUUCUCAUUCAUCACGCCCUGUAGAAUUUCAUUUGACAAAUGGAGAUGUAAUUGUGUUAAAACCUUUCGAUCUUUACGUUUCUUCUCCUCCUCUGUCAAUGUCGAAGGCAUCUUAUCUACCCCUAGCAAGGCAUCCUCUAACUCCAUUUGCGCAAGAACUGGCUGCAUCUUUAUCUGCCAUAGUGCGAACCAGGUGUUGUGAUCUAGUAGUGGAAUAUCAUACUUCAAUGUCGCCAUUACCAUGAUCGAGACAAACAACCCGAAAAGCUCUGAUACCAGUUUGUAAAAGUUGAACGUCGACAAUGACAAUAUAAAACAAUCACAAAUCAAAAGAAAGAAAAAUAAGAGAACACAGAUUUUACGCGGAAACCCUUUCGAGAAAAAAACCACGAGUAGAGGAGAAGAAAAUUCACUAAUGUCAAAUUCGAAUGAUACAAGAGAAAUUUAGACUAUAUCUAUUUAUAGGUUGAAAAACCUUAUUUUAAUCAAUGUCAAAUAGAUGAAGUGUAGUAAGGUUGAAAAACCUUUUUCUAAUUAAUGUAAAAUAAAAGAAGUAUAAUUCUAUAUGGAUUUUACUUUUAUUUUAAUUUACCACUGUAUUUUAUUUUAACAAGGAUUCGAACCACUCAACUCUAUAUAUAUUUAAAAUCAUUCAAAUUUGAAAAAAUAAAUUAAAAUUAAAAAUAUUUUGUUGAAAAUCUGAAAAUUAUUUUUAAAAAGUCCCCCUCAUCUUCUUCAUCUAAAAGAAUGAAGAUUUUCACUGUCAUUUUUUUAUUUACUUAAAACUCUCAGAUCGUAAAAGAUUACUUUUUGUGCAUCCAAAUGAAAAACCCUCAACCAUCCCUUGUAGAAAAGAGAAGACUUGAAGCAAAUGGCACAAAUUCGAUCCGUUUGCGCUUUAAUUUCUAGCGAAAAGUUGGCUAUGUAACAUCAUCAAAACCAACCCUAAUAAAAUUUCUAACAUAGACAUAUUUUUUUAUUUAACUGCGAUUUGUUAUUUAGAAAAUCAUGGUUAUAAUAAAAUUUUAAAAUCAAUUAAAAUUCAUUAAAAUAAUUUUUUAUCUACGAAAUCAAAAUCUAAAUUAGAAAUUAACUGUUAUGCAUGAAGAAGCUUAAUACUAUUUUUGGUCUUUGUACUAUAGUGAAAUUCUUAUUAUGGCCUUUUAUUAUUUUUUGGUCAGAUUGUUUUCUCUAUUUCCAUUUCGUCACUAAGUUCGCCCUUUUAGCAAGUUUCAUUAAAAAUAUUAAAUCCACGAAUGACUUGCUGUGCCACAUUUAAAAAAAUUAAAAAUUUUACUUAAAAAAUUAAAAAUCCAAAAUAUCUCAAAAAUAACAAAAAUUUGAAAACAUAGAAUUUUUUUUUAAAAUAUCCUAAUCUACUUUUGAAAAUUAUAAAAAUUAUUUUUUUACAAAAAAAUUAUUUAAAAAAAUAAGAACUCAUUUAAAUUCCACAAAAAUCAUAAUUUUUUUAAAAGAGUCCCAAAAAUCUUAAAACACAAAAAAAUUAUAAGAUCUUAAUCUAUUUCAAAUUCACUUAAAAUUUAAAAAAUAUAAAAAAACUAAAAUAAAUCAUUAAAAUUCCCCAAAAAAACAUAAUUUUUUUUAAAUCCAGAAAAAUCUUAAAAUUCUGAAAUUUUAAAAAAAAUCAAAAUAUUAAUCUAUUUCAAAUUCACUUAAAAUUUUAAAAAUAUAAAAAACUAAAAAAUAUUAAAAUUCCAAAAAUAUAUAUAUUAAAAAAACACCCCCAAAAAAUCUUAUAACUUUGAAAAUUAUAAAAUAAACUUUUAAAAAAUCUUAAUCUAUUUUUGAAAAUUAUAAAAAAGAAAACCUAAACUUAUAAGUAUGCAGAACUUCAAGAAAAUAAAAAAAUCAUAAAAAUAUAAAAAAUGUUUUUCUUUUUUGAAUUUAGGGUUUUAUAAAAAUAUAGAAUUUUAUGAAAAAUUUUAAGAAUUUUAUGGUAAUUUUUACUUAGGAUUUCCAAAAAAAAAAAAAAUCCCAUAAAUUUCUUCUAAAUUUUAAUAAAAUUCCAAAAUUUUAUAAAAACCUAAAAUUUUCUACAAACCUAAAAUUCCAAAAAGAAACUCAUUUUUUUUAACUUUUUUUCAAAGUUUCGCAUGCUUAUACUUUUUUUUUUCAAAAAAUAUAGUUUUGAAAAAUAUAUUAAGAUUUUUUUAGUUUUUUUAUUACUUUUCUAUGUUUUUAUAAAAGAACCAAAGUGAGAAUUUCAGAUAUUAAGCCAAAAGAUAUUACCUUUUAUUUGAGUUUAUUUAGAGUGAGAUUUCACCGUAUGCAAACAAAAGAGAAUUACAAUACAAAGCAGAUCCUCUCUUUUCCUCCUUUCUUUUUCCGUAGUUUUCUUCUUCUUCUUCUUCUUCUUCUUCUUCCUCUCUUGUAAACUUCUUUUCUUUCUCCUUUACAUGCUUCACUGUUCUCUUCACCUCUCUCUUUUUUCUUCUUACCUUUUUUUGCUUUUCCAUGCAAAAUGAGGCAGGAGGCCAUGCCACCCUUAAAUGUUAAUAACACUGACAAAUAACAUAAUAAUCUAAACUAAAAAAUUAAUAGUCAAAAUCCAAAAUAAAAUCGAGCUAUGAAAGUGUAGCAACAUUCAACUUAGAUUUUUCAAAUUAAACCUAACCCUAGAAUUCAGAUUUAUUGAAAGUGACUUUAAAAUUAAGUUUAGCCCGGAUAAAAAUAAUACCUAUAAUAUAAAUAAUAUUUUUUAAUUAUUUUUUAAUCAAAUUGAUGUUUGAUUAAUGGGUGAUACCGAUACAAAAAAUUUAAAUAGAAACAUAAAUUCUAAUUUAAAUGUUUUAAAAGAAAAUACUAAUUGUUCAAGACUGUAUUUAAUUCAGUUCGUUUUUCUUCGAUUUGUCCUUCUAUUAGAUGAAAAAAAAACUAAUAAAACGACUCGUAAAUUAAUACAUAUUAAUAUUUUUAUUUUUAUCGUGUUAUUGAAAACUAUGGGAUAUUUUACUUUUGAAUUUCAUAUAAAUAUUAAAUGUGCAUAUAAACUCUUCAAGGAUAAUUUAAUUAUUAUUUAAUAAGAAAAUUUUAAGGUAAUAAAAAUUGUAUGUGAGAGAACCCGAUGUGAUGGCUCGAGCUGAUGUGAGUUUCUUUAUUGGCCUAAUAAUAAAUUUAGUCUUCUAAUAUUUACACGUUCUACCCAAGUUUGGAAGUUACUGAUGAUGAUAUGUCCAAGUAAAAAAAAAGGCGAAAAAAAACAAAUUUUCUAUGUUUUGAAAGAUUUCGCAUUUCAUUGUUUCCUCUAUUUGAAUAUUAAGUAUUUGUACAUUUUUUAAAUAAGAAAAACAUGGAAAUAAUUAUUUUGUAAUUGUUUAAAGAAUUGUUAAUUUAUUUAGAGGAAUUGAUUCUUAGAUUAUAUGAUAUUAAUCUAAAAUAUGACACUAAAAUAGUUGGAUUUAAGCCAACUUGAUUUUUUACCAUAUUCAAAAAGGCGAUAUUAAUUUAAAAAGAGCACAAUACAAAUAGUGUUAAAUACUCUUCUUGUUUAGUAUAUUUUGGAGGUACGUUAAAGAAUAUUUAAAAAAAUUUAAAUACUUUCCAAUUUUCUAUUGAAAUUUUUAGAAUUAGAACUAAACUGACAAAUUCUGUGAUGGCUAAAUUUAUUGAUUUUUUUUAGAAUUCGAACUAAAAUGACAAAUUUUGUAAACAUUUAGGGCUAAUUUUGUUGAUUUUGUUUUAGAUUUAGGAUCAAACUGAUAGAAUGUGUAAAUAUUGGAGGCUAAAUUUGUUAUUAGAUCAAUAAAAAGGGCUUACCGAGCUUUUCAUCACUCAUCUAACAACAACUAACGAGAGAGUGACUAAAAUAUUUAAUUUCAAAAAAUUGAGUGGCAAAAUGGAAAAAAAAAUCAAUAGUCAGGUGACCAAAUAGAACCGAAGGCAUAAUUGGUGACUAUUGUUGUAGUUUACCCUUUUAGUAAUUAAAAUUAAUUUCUUUCAAUAAGUUCAAAUAAUAGAAAAUAAUUAUUUGAUAAUUAAAUGAAGAACUACAUUGGUAGUCACUCAACUAUUAGUAUUUUUUUUUGUCAUGCAACUAUGAAACUUUACAAAAAUGGUCAAUAAUUAUUCAACUUUUUUCUAUUUGGUCAACCAACUACCGGCCAUUAAUUUAUACAUUGUGUCAAUUUAGUCUUGAUUCAAAAAAAAUUAACCCUCAACAUUUACACAUUGUGUCAUUUUUUUUUGCAGUUUUACUUUUAUUUGUGACAUUGAGGGUUAAUUUUAAAAGAAUGAGAAAAUAUGAAAAUUAUUAUCUUGGAUUUUGGGUGUUUUCAUUUUUGAUAUAUUUCCGAUUAAAUUUAGUUGAUAGAUUGUUUUUCUUAGCUUAUUAGGUGAAAGGGUCACAAAGAAAAACAAAGAAAAAAUACCAAAUUACAUCAUGUGUAAACACUGAGGGUCACAAUGUAUAAAUGUUGAGUGCUAAAGUUGCUAUUAUGCCAAUUUUAAAAGUUAUACGUCACCUUUUAUUCAAUCAUUCAACGACUAGUGAAAACGAAAAAACCAAAUAGUUGAGUGACCACUUCGUAACUUUUCAUAAUUGGGUGGCUAAAAAAAGAAAAGUACUAAUAGUUGGAUGACUUGAAAUGUAAUUUACCCUUAAAUAAAACAAUGGAUAAUUUGUGAUUGGUGUCCCAAAAUUAUAAAAAAGAAACUAUAUUUGCUAUAAGAAAGGUUAUAUCAACUAGAUAGACUAUAGUGGACAUUAAAUGACGUACCAUAAAAAAUAAAAAGAAAAGAACAAACAACUUCAAAACCUAUAUAUAUAUAUAUAUACAUAUAUAUAUAUAUAUAUUAUUUAAAGGUUGUAUUCUUUUGACUUAAAAAGAAUAAUUGAGGCUAAAGAGAUUGCAAUGAUUUAAGCAUGUUAUUCAUGACUAUAAUGUUUUGGAAAAAUAUAUAAUAUUAUACUUUUUGUAAAAUCAUAAGGAGCGUUAAUGAUUGACAAGUAUCUUAUAAGAAUAUAGUAAAUUUUUUUAAAAAAUACACAUUAUAGUUUUUUAAGACUGUUUGUGAAAUUAAAAAAAAUACACUACUAAUGUACAAAAUACGUAUUGUCGAAACCGUUUUUUGAAAACAAAAAUUUUAGUUUCGACUUAAAAAUAAAAACAAAAACUGGAGUCGCCACCGAUCAUUUAUGAAGGUGUGAUCGGCCCACCUUAAAAAUAAUUUUGGUCUGCGAAAUUCGAGAAAACAGGCUCGGGAGUCAGUUACGCACGAGGAAGGAUUAGCACCCUCGUAACGCCCAAAAUUGGUACCAAAUUGAUUUUUUUUAAUGCCUUGGUGUCGAAAAUUUGAAAAGAUUUUAAAAGGAAACUUUUUAUUUCAUGAAUGGAUUAAAAUAAAAAGACAUUCGUAUUUCAAAGAAAUAAAACACCACACCCAGUGAGUUAGGGCACAAUGUUUUUAAAUCUUCAAAAUACCCGAAUAUUGCCUUUUGCUUUUGAAAAUUCUUAUUUCGAGAAGAAAAUGUCAUGACCAGUAAGUUAGGACCCAACAUUUCGAAUUCCCGAGAAUAAGUUUUUAUUUAAAAUUUGAAUUUAUUGCAAAACAAAUAUUUGGCUUUCUAAACUCAUCGAAAAAUAAUCGCGAUCCAAUAAGUUAGGACACGAUCUUUCACGAGAAUCAUGAAUACCAAAUAUUUUGGAAUUUAUAAAAUAAGAUGAUUUAAAUACUUUGAGAAAACAUAUAUUUUCUUUAAAAGCAAGAUAAAAUGUUAAUAUACAACAUGAUACACAUAUUUUAAUUUAAAUUAUAAAUGUGCAUGUAUUUACAAAAUAUAUAUAAGUGUAAUACACAAGUAAAUUUGAAAAUAUGUGCAUGCGUAUGUUUAACACACAUACACAAAUAUACAUAAAAAACAUGCAUAGCAUAACUUAUAAUAAUCUCCAAAAAUAUGUACGUAUAUUUCAUAAAACAUGCAUAUGUACAAAAAAAUAGAAAAAAAAAAUGCAUAUGCCUUGUAAAAUAUGAGAGUACAUACAUAUAUAUAUAUAUAUAUACAUAUUUAUUUAUAAAAACUAUGUAAACAAAAUAUAUAUAAAAUAUGAGCGUAUAAGGACUUCAAAGGAGAUUGGAUUGGUUACUUCAGUCUGCUCCACUGCAACUUCAGGGAGAUAAGACUUGUAUAUUCGAUCUACUUCACCACCAGUAUGGGAAGACAAGAUCUGUUUUCUUCGAUCUACUUCACGCCAAUACAUGAGGACAAGAUCUGUUUUUUCAAUCGAUUCCACUGCCGACCGGGGAGGUAGAAUUACUGGCUUCAAUAUACUCCGCUGCAACCUCAGGGAGGUAAAAUCCGCCAUCUUCGAUCUGCUCCACUACUGCUUAGGGAGAUAAGAUCUGUAAUCUUCAAUUUGCUCAACUGCAAUGUCGGGGAAACCAGAUCCGCCGUCGUGGCUUCAAUCUAUUCCACCGCACCGUUAGAGAAGUAAGAUUUGCCGUUGUGGCUUCAAUCUUUUUAAUUGCAAUAUCAGGGAAACCAAAUCCGCCGUCGUAGCUUCAAUCUGUUCCACUGCACUGCUAAGGAAGUAAGAUCCGCCGUUGUGGCUUCAAUCUUUUAAAUUGUAAUAUCAGGGAAACUAGAUCCGCCGUCGUAGCUUCAAUCUGUUCCGCUGCACUGCUAAGGAAGUAAAAUCCGCCGUUGUGGCUUCAAUCUUUUUACUUUUCAACCCGCUCCAUUGUUACUCACGGAGACAAGGCUUUAUGAUUUCACCGAUCUGCUCUCUGUGGAACAUGACCUGUAUGACUCACUUUAUGAGCCUAAUUAUGCCUAAUGAUUAGGAUGUCAUGAUCAGAAUGAAUCAAAUGCUCCUAACUAGGCGUGUAUAAAUGACAUUUGAAUAUUAUGUCAUGAAAAAUGAAUAUUGAAUGUGUAAAGUCAUUAUUGCUCAUUAAGGCUUCCUUCGUGGCAACAACGCUUCGUCAAAACUUGAAAAAUUUAAAAUCUCGACUCUUGGCUCCUAGAUAUCUCCGACCUUUUAACCCAGUGAAGGUCUAAACAAUAGUCCUGUUUCAGGUUCCUGAGUUAUUUAAAGAUUUCUAGAGUAAUAUGAAAAACUUCCCUUGUGAAAGUUUUACUAGUCCAUUAAUCGUCAUUCUAAUGCAACAUGCUUGCGAAAAGAUCAUAACGAUAACAUAAACAAAAUUAGUCUGGGAGGAUAGCUCGCAAUGGAUUGUCAAUGAUAGAGGAAUUGUCUGGGGACAUUUAUAUUGAAAAAAAAUGUCAUAAUUUAACAAUGAAUUCAAUACAAAUACUAUGAACAUGUGCCCCAGAUAUCUCUGCUUGAAUUUCUCUAUACAGCUUUCGAAGACCCUUUUGAAUUCAACACGUGUUUAGGAAAUUCACAGUAUUUUGUUGAUGCCCCAAGAUGUCGUCUAUUCCUUUCUGUCGAUUUAGGUACAGCAAGACUACCACGUGACAACCAAAAUUUGAGCCGCCCUUUUUGGGUUUUCAACUCAAAUCCCCUUUGGUCUUAAGGUGCCCUUUGCGGGUUUUCACCUUAGCCUCUCCUUUCCUUUUCUUUUCUUUUCUUUUUUUUUUUUGGAAUCAAAGCGCCCUUUGCGGGUUUUCACCUUGGUUACUUCCCUUCUUCAAGUAAAGUACCUCUUCACCGAAUCUGAAUUUACCGGAUUAGGCAAGUUUUUCCCGUCCAUUUCAGCCAGGAUCAGGGCUCCUCCAGAAAAGGCCUUUUUUACAACAUAAGGACCCUCCCAAUUCGGCAUCCAUUUCCCCUUAAAAUCCUUUUGUAGAGGAAGAAUUUUUCUCAACACCAGGUCCCCCUCGUGAAAUUCUCUGGGUCGGACUUUCUUGUUGUAGGCUCGCAUCAUUCUUUUCUGGUAUAUCUGACCGUGCUGAAUAGCCUUUAGCCUCUUUCCCUCUAUCAAGUUCAACUGAUCGUAUCGAGAUUGAACCCAAUCCGCUUCAUCCAAUUGUAGCUCAGACAAAACCCGGAGAGAAGGGACUUCAACUUCGAUGGGCAACACUGCCUCCAUGCCAUAAACUAAGGAGAAAGGCGUUGCCUCGGUGGAGGUCCUGGUUGACGUUCAAUAAACAAGGAGGGCAAACGGUAAUUUCUCGUGCCAGUCCAUGUAAGUCUCAGUCAACUUCCCUACAAUCUUCUUUAUAUUUUUAUUGGUCGCUUCUACUGCACCAUUCAUUUUCGGGCGAUACGGCGACGAAUUGUGAUGUCUGAUCUUGAAUUGACUGCAGACCUCUGCUAUUGAGCUGUUGUUCAAAUUCAACGUAUUGUCGGAUAUGAUUCUUUCAGGCAUUCCAUACCGACAUAUGAUCUCUCUCUUCAAGAACUUACUGACUGAUGACUUUGUAACAUUAGCAUACGAAGCAGCUUCUACCCAUUUGGUGAAGUAGUUAAUAACCACGAAUAUGAAAUGAUGCCCAUUUGAAGCCUUUGGCGAUAUUGGCCCGAUAACAUCCAUACCCCACAUGGAGAAAGGCCAUGGAGAAGUCAUGACAUGAAGAGGUGAAGGAGGUGCAUGCAUUUUAUCACCAUAGAUUUGACAUUUAUGGAACUUCUUGGAAUAAUUGAUGCAAUCCCCUUCCAUGGUAGACCAGUAGUACCCGAAUCUCAUAAUCUGCCUAGCCAUUGUGAACCCGCUGGCAUGCGUUCCGCAGAUGCCCUCAUGGACUUCUUCUAGAAUUUUCUUUGCUUCUACGGCGUCCACACAUCUUAGCAGUACCUGAUCUUUUCCCCUCUUGUACAAGAUCUCCCCAUCUAAGACGUAGUCAAUGGCUAGUCUUCUCAGAGUUCUCUUUUCAUUCUCCGUUGUCUGGCCAAGAUACUCACGAUUUUUUACAUACCGUAGUAUAUCUUGAUACCAAGGACUAUCAUCGAUUUCCCCUUCUUCAAUAUUGUAACAAUGAGCCGGGUCUUCAUAGAUACUCAUUUGGAUUGGUUUCAUAUCCCCAUUUCUGUUCAGUUUGAUCAUGGAAGCUAAGGUAGCUAGUGCAUCAGCCAUCUGGUUCUCAUCUCGUGGGAGAUAGCAAAAAGUGAUGUCCUCAAACUCCUUAAUCAAUUCGAGGACCAACUUUCGGUAACUGAUUAAUUUGGGAUCUCUCGUUUCCCAUUCACCCCUGAGCUGAUAUAUCACCAAUGCUGAAUCUCCAUAGACCUCUAGCACUUUGAUUCCUCGCUCUAUAGCUGCACGAAUACCCAUGAUGCAUGCUUCAUAUUCUGCCAUGUUAUUUGUACAAUCAAAAUCCAAUUUACAAGUGAAAGGAUAAUGAUCACCAUUUGGGGACACCAGGACUGCCCCAAUUCCAUUGCCUACAGCGUUCGAGGCUCCAUCAAAGUUUAGCUUCCAACUGUGACCUUCUUGGGGACUUUCUUCAGUAGCGGCUACACACAUCAGGUCCUCAUUUAGGAAAUCAAAACUCAACAGCUCGUAGUCCUCCAGAGCUCUACUAGCUAGAAAGUCAGCAAUUGCACUCCCUUUCACAGCCUUUUGGUUCACAUAGACAACAUCAAAUUCAGACAAUAAAAUUUGCCAUCGGGCCAUUCUCCCAUUCAAAGCAGCUGACUCCAUCAUAUACUUUAACGGGUCUAACUUUGAGAUCAGCCAAGUCGUAUGGUAUAACAUGUACUGCCUUAAUCUUCGGGUUGUCCAAAUCAAGGCACAGCAUAAUUUCUCAAAUAGGCGAAUAUCUCAUUUCACAGUCAGUGAAUUUCUUGCUGAGAUAAUAUAUCGCUCUUUCUUUCCUCCCCGUUUCAUCAUGUUGACCUAACACACACCCCAUGGAAUUGUCAAAUACCGUUAGAUACAAUAUCAGAGGCCUAUCCGGGUUAGGUGGUGACAGCACUGGAGUAUUAGACAAAUACUGUUUCACUUUGUUGAAAGCUUCCUCGCAUUCCUCAUCCCAAGUACCAGGAUUAUGUUUCUUCAGAAGACGAAAUAUAGGGUCACAUUUCUCAGUCAGUUGUGAAAUAAACCUAGCGAUGUAAUUCAGUCUUCCUAGGAAACCUCGAACUUCUUUCUGAAUGCGAGGUGAAGGUAAAUCUCGUAUUGCCUUGACUUUGUCUGGGUCAAUCUCGAUUCCCUUUUCACUGACUACAAAGCCUAGCAACUUUCCUGACCUGGCCCCAAAAGUGCACUUCGCUGGAUUAAGCUUGAGUUAGAACUUUCUCAAUCUUAAGAAUAACUUUCUCAAGACCCACACAUGUUCGCCCUCUGUUCUAGAUUUCGCGAUCAUAUCAUCAACAUAAACCUCGAUUUCCCUGUGCAUCAUGUCAUGGAACAAGGCUACCAUGGCUCUUUGGUAUGUCGCUCCUGCAUUCUUCAAUCCAAACGGCAUCACUUUGUAACAGAACGUCCCCCAUAACGUAAUGAAUGUAGUCUUCCUCAUGUCUUCAGGAUGCAUCUUUAUCUGAUUGUACCCAGAAAAACCAUCCAUGAAGGAAAACAGUGAAAAGCCCGCAGUAUUGUCUACCAAUGUGUCAAUGUGAGGCAAUGGGAAAUUAUCCUUUGGACUAGCCUUGUUCAAAUCCCGAUAAUCCACACACAUUCGUACUUUUCCAUCNNNNNNNNNNNNNNNNNNNNNNNNNNNNNNNNNNNNNNNNNNNNNNNNNNNNNNNNNNNNNNNNNNNNNNNNNNNNNNNNNNNNNNNNNNNNNNNNNNNNCUUGCAGAAACCCGGCAUCAAACUGCUUUUGGACCUCCUCCUUUUAUCUUCAACACGAUAUCAGGCCUCAUCCUUCUGAGUUUUUGCUGCACUGGCUUGCAAUCUUCUCUUAUAGGGAGACGAUGGACUACCAUGUCGGUACUCAACCCCGGCAUAUCCUGGUAUGACCAUGCAAACACGUCUUUGAACUCUCGGAGUAAUUCAAUGAGGUCCUGCCUUGUCCUUUCAGAGAUAACCGAUCUGAUCUUCACCUCUUUACCCUCCUCUAAGCUCACGACUUCUAUUGAUUCCCUGUGAGGUAGGAUUUAUUUCUCGGCCCUUUCUACCAUCUUUGACAAGUCAGGAGACAAACCACAGUCUUCGUUGUCUUCAAAAUUAUGCGAUCCCUCUAAACACAUGUUUCGUUCAAAAGGAGACUCUAAAUUUGUAAGAGUGACAUUCGCAUCAUUGAUAUCAUGGGACCUGUUAUAAGUAUGAAAAACAAUAUGGAUUCAGGAAUUUGUUUGGUGCAAUAUGGUCAUGAAUGAAAUGCAAGUGUAGUUUAAGAGAAACUUAAAAUAACUGCUCUUAUGGGAAGAAAGAUUUGCUCCAAAAAUGAUUGCAAACAUGAACUUUAUUAAAAUAACGAUUUUCUGGACAUGAGCCUAUUUCACAAAGGAAUCCUUAUCACUUCUAGGCUAAAAGGCAAUAAGGGUGUUCUGGACAUUACUCUGGGGAAAUCCUAAAAACUACAGGUAUUUCUUCUGCAGUCCAGUUGUUUAGCUCCCUUUCCGACUCGUAAGGACGAAUAUCUGGCAAAGCUCUUCCUCGCGUCACUUCUUCAUACACAACAUGAAUACUCUCUAGCUCCAUGUUAAUACUUCUGACCCCUAGCAUUCUUUGAUAGGUGAAUCCUCCCGGUACAAAAGUCUUGGAUAGGUGAGGAAAGGUCAUGGGUUCCCAUUUGACUUCAUCACCUGUCAAGCGAGCCCUUCUCCGCACUCGCUUAUUUUCCUGCUCUAUCCUCUUCUGCCUAGCAUCUGGCUUGUAUUCUAAGCCAAAACGAUCCUGCUUGUCUUUCAACACUAGAGCCUCAACUCGGCCCUGAAGAUAUCUCCCCAAUCCUCUUCUCGGUAAUGCUCCCUUUCCAACAGUCAACUGCAGACCCAUCUCUGUGGUCCUGGAUAUUCUCGGCAUCGGGAUCUUGUUUCCCUCACGGAUGAAUGUUGCAUUUACAAACUCCAAGGAACGAAAAGAGCAUUCGAUUGGAUCAUCGCUCGUUUCUAGAUAAGUCGCAUCGUUGGUCACAGAUGCAAUGAUAUCUUCUUCAGCAUCUAUCGUCACAACCCUGCCUUCUGACACCAGCUUCAGUUUUUGAUGUAACGAUGACGGUACCGCACCUGCUGAAUGAAUCCAUGGCCUUCCUAAUAGGCAACUGUAAGAAGGCUUGAUGUCCAUAACUAAGAAGUCCACCUCAUAAAUAGUUGGGCCAAUUAACAAGAGAAUGUCAACUCUUCCCAUGACCCUCCUCUCAGUACCAUCGAAUGCUCGAACCACGUUCUGACACGACUUCAUAUGCGAACUAUCCACAGGUAGCCUGUUGAGCGUGGAUAGGGGAAAUACAUUUAAUGCCGAUCCAUUGUCUACCAGAACCCCCGGUAAUAUGCACCCUUUACACCUUGCAAUGAUGUGUAAAGCUCUAGUGGAUCCCAUACCCCCAGGUGGUAUUUCGUCAUCGCUGAAAGAGAUGAAGUUAUCAGCGCUUAUAUUACCGACCAGUCGAUCCAACUUGUUAAUAGAGAUAUCAUCGGCCACAUAAGUUUCAUUUAGCACCUUCAGUAGUGCAUUCUGAUGUCCCUCCGAGUUCAGGAGUAAAGCUAGCACAGAUAUGCGAGCUGGUUGUUUGUGCAGCUGUUCCACAACGCUGUACUCGCUAUGUUUUAUGAACUUCAAGAACUCUCUAGCUUCCUCCUCCUUGAUUGGUUCAUUGACCACCAAUUCAGGUUCGACCGUCUUCUUCUUCUUUCCAAUCAGAGUUUCUUCUCUUAUUGGCUCUACUCGAGCCUUCACCUGUUCGUUAUACCCUCCUUCAUCAUGGUCCUCCUUCCCUGGGAUUGUCACAUUACAAUUGUAAUGCCAAGGAACCCUCCUGUUAUCCUUGUAAGUAAACGCAGUCGGUUUUUGAAUGAUAACCCUUGGUGCUACUCGUGCUCCAGCCUCACUAUUCUUAGGUUGUGAGAUGAUGACCACAGGAUGGUUAACCUUUGGAACUCCCAAUGCCAACUCUGACGUACAUACAUGACUCUCUUUCUGAAUUCCUUCCCAAAAUUCCAUCUCUUUAUUAUCUAUCAUACCCUGUACCACGGCUCUGAACUCCGUACACUCCUGGAUUUCAUGCCCCAUUUCACAGUGGAACUCACAGUAGUUCCUCCUCUUCUCACAGCUUUCUUCUGAAGGAAUUAGCCCCCUUUUCACCAUCUCUUUCCAGACCCAUCUCAAAGGAGUCUUCACGUCCGCAAUGUCUACCUUAAUUCUCAUGUCUUCGUCCAUCAUAUUUACCCCACCAUCAGUGUGAUUUGGUAAUGGGUUCUCUGCCUUGGUGGCUUCAUCAAAUUUAACGACACCCAUACCAAUGAGCCUUUCAACCAGCUUCUUGAAGGCCGUACAGUUUUCUAUGGAGUGCCCCGUGAUUCCCGCAUGAUAGUCGCACUGUGCAUUUGCGUCGUACCAUUUGGGGGACGGGGGCUGUAAGGGCUUCAGAUAGAAAGGGGAAACUACAUGUGCGUCGAAUAAGUUUCGGUAUAAUUCCCUGUACGACAUGGGAAUUGGCGUGAAUUGGGGCCUCUCCGUAUUUCGCCUUGUACCGACCUUCUGUCUCGACAAGCUUUGUUGAUUGGCAGCCGUCUUUCCUGGCUGACUCACUGUUACUGACUUCGAGUAACCCUUGUUGUACAUGCUCACGUUGUUCACCUCGUUUUCCUUCCUUUUCGAAGCUGAUCUUCUGUUACUCUCUCCAGCAUCGAUCUUCCCACUCCUGAUGGUGUUCUCAAUCAUCUCGCCAUUCAUGACUAUGUCAGGAAAGCUUUUUGUGGCACUUCCUAACAUAUGUGUAAUGAACGGUGCCUUCAGGGUGUUAAUGAACAACAUGGUCAUUUCCUUUUCCAAGAGCGGUGGUUGAACUUGGACCGCGACCUCCCUCCAUCUCUGUGCGUACUGCCUAAAGCUUUCGCUCGGCUUCUUCUCCAUGUUUUGAAGGGUGAUCUUAUCAGGAGUCAUGUCUGUCACAUGACUAUAUUGUUUCAUGAAUGCUUGCGCCAAGUCCCUCCAUGAACCAAUCGUAGCUCGACUCAACUGAUUGUACCACUUGGAUGCUGCCCCUGCAAGGCUGUCUUGGAAGUAAUGUAUUAAUAGCUGGUCAUUACUAACGUAUCCAGCCAUUCGCCUGCAGAACAUGGUGAUAUGAGCCUCUGGGCAAGUCGUCCCAUUGUACUUCUCGAAUUCAGGCAUCUUAAACUUAUGAGGGAGAACAAGAUCCCGCACUAAACUCAGCUCUUUUGCGUCAAUGCCUCGAUAGCUUUCAGUAACUUCCAUCGCCUUGAACUUCUCCUCAAGCCACUUGCAUCUCUCUUCCAACUGUCUCGGUAACUCCUCCUUCACUCUUUCCUUCUCAACUACUUCAUCAAAGUCAGGAAUGGCAGAGUUAAUAGGAUUAUUUUCGGGAUUAAAACACGGCCCAGUUUGGAGGUUCGAAACACCAGCUUGAAAUUGCUGAGGCAUGAUUGUGACAGUAGAUUUGCGCGGGUAUUCAUCUUGAGUUCGCUCAUGUGGAGGGGUGAAACCUGGAGGAUAGAAAAGUUCAUCAUCAUUUCCCUCAUCGACAUCUGCCAUGGGGCCCUUUCCUUUGUCACCUCCCUUAGUUAUCAGUCGGGUUAACUUUGCCACUAUAUCCUCUUGAGAUUCCCGCAUCUUCUCAGACAUUUCUUGUUUCAUCUUGUCUAACCGCUCCUGCAUUUGUAGCUGAAUCCAGUCUUGCAUCUCCUUCUGGUACUGUUCGAGCUUUUCUAAUCUCUGAUCCAUAUCUCUUGUCUUUGUUCGAGUGCCGUAUCGGUGUUGGAUUGGUUGGUUGGUUUCCAGGUUAACUGAGCAAUAAUUUUAAUUAAUUAGGAUCAAUUCAAAGUUUUGAAUGCAUAUGAUGCGAUGCAUGAGAUGAAUGCAAGAAAGGCGUUAAUUAUGAUUCAAUUCCACUUGGAAAACUUUAUUAGAAAACAAAUCUCUUUACAUAGAAUAGACUACAAAUACGACUUCGCCCUAAUACUUAAGACCUUGAUUUUUUGAAGCAACGAGGCUAACUCCCGUCCCCGGUCUGACUCCAAUUCAUACUUUACGCUCAACGUGUCAGCUUGUACUGCCAGAGUUUGUAAGUGAUCAGCUACUUCUCGAAUCUGAACCAAGGCUUGUCCCAUAACACGAUCCCUGCUUCUGACCUAAUUCUGGAGAUAGUGAAGCUGUUCGCUUUGAUGAUCUUUGUUUGCCUCCAAAUACUCAAUCCUGGCUUCACAGUUCUGCAAUGCCACCUCUAGUUCUUCUAUAGUUUUCUUCAUUUGCUCGAUUCUACUUAAACUUGCUUGCAGUUCCACCACUGAAUUACGAUUUCGGUAUUGAUGAACAAUCUUCUCAAGUUCGGCCACUCUAGCCCUUAGUUUAUCCCUUUCAUCUUGAUUUUCUGACAAACUCUUCUCAAGCGAUCUAUUUUGCAUCUGGGCUUCUUGGAAUCUUUCUUCCCAUCUGCCAGCCUUGGCUUUUUCUUCUUGAACCUCUUGACGCCACUGCUCUGAGGUUUUUCCCAACCCAGCAGUUCUUACUGACAGACGUAGUCUCUUAUAAUCCGUCUUCAAGCUGUUCAAAUCUUCCUCGACUUUGCGCUUCCCUUUUCUCAGGCCUUCGGUUUCCUGCAUUUGAACAUCUAUGUCCAACUUUAAAUUCACCUUUUCCUCCUCCAUUUUCUCUAUUUUCUUCUCUAAUUCUGCAUUCCUUCUUUCGAGGUCUUAAUUUAUGAUUUCCAGCUCAGAAGGGACGACGCACAAAUGCUCCUCUAUCGACUGACUAUUUUCUGAACUUGGCCCGGGAAUGUUGUCAUUAAUCCUCCUAACACGCCAUUCGUUAUAUUCAGAAGUUGUCAUUGGACCCACGGCUAAUCUCUUCAUUCGGCGAGUCUGAUUCCACGCAUUGGCCAUCUCACGAGCCUUCCUUUUGUAGCCAUCAUCCUUAUAUGAGAAUUCACACUCAGCUAGUCCUUGAGUGGCAGGCACAAACUGUCUUGACCUGUACUGUCUUAACACUAGCAAUGGGGCAUAACCAACAGCUCCCCAAAUCCCGAGCAACGGAACCCAGUCGAAAUCGCCACACCUAUAUAGGAUCUCAUCUGGAAGCAACCACGGAGCUCUCCACUCGAUAUCUUCUUCUUGCAGAUUCUGAAAGAUUGCCAUCCAUUUCUCCUCUGUAAUAUCAUCUCUCCUUGAUGCAGCCACUAUCUCUUUCAACGGUGAAUAACUUUCAGAGAAGACCUGAUAUGAAACCUUAUCAACCUUCCAAAAGUGGCUAUGGAACCACCCAAGUAAUAACUGCGCACAUCUAAAAAAUCUGCCCUCUCCCGUUCUUCGGCAUGCAUUUAAUGACCUAAAGGUUUCUGCCAAAAUCACCGGAACUGGCGUAACUCCCUUGUCAAGCCGGUCGAAUAAAUCAGUGACCGCCUAAUCAACAUGUCCCAAAAUCUUAGGAAACAAGAUUAGACCAUAUAUACUUAGAGCAAAGACGUCCACUUUCUUCCUCGCAUCUGGGUGUGCUAAAAUGAGGUCCUUCAAGUUUUUCCAAGGAAUACACCUACUAUCCCCUUUUUGCUUAAUCCGAGCUGUAACCCACUACUCAUUUAUCCCUGUUAUACUCAUCAACUUCCUCAAGAAGGUUGGUACAUUCACCGCUUUCGAAUAAAUUCUAUCCACCUGUACCUUCGAACACCGAAGUAAAGCCGUGUACUCCUCUAUUGUAGGCACUAGGUCAACCUUUCCGAAUGUGAAGCAACUGUACGCCGGAUUCCAAAACUGGGCAAGAGCUCGAAACAGACGGUUGUCUACCUUCAUGUCAAGUAAAUAAGGUAAAUCCCCAUAAUUUGAAUAGAAUAGCUGUCUAACCUCAUUAUCCCAUUGAUCCCAAAUCUCCUUCAAUUCCUGCAAGUUGUUCUGAGCUACGCUAACACGAGUGAAGUCCCAUAACUCUGAUACGUAUCCCACGGCCAAACUAUCACCUUUUUCAUGCUGUAUCUUCUCAGACCAAGUCCGGACAGCCGUAUUGUCUUCCACUCUAUCAAGAAACCCAUUUCCCAUGAUAAACUUUCUAUAUGGCAACCGAAUAUGAACCAACGCCUUUAUAAUGAAAUGUCAUGCAAUUAUGAUGUCAUGCAAUCAAAACAAAAGAAACCCAAGUUAGUAUCACAUAUAAAAAUAUAAUCCAAACAAGAACACUUAUUUAGGAAUCUACUAGGGUUCAGUAUAGUUCUCCCUAGGGCAAGUUCCUAAAGCUCACUAUAUGAGGUUUAGUUUCUAGAGUAAGGGUACCCGAACCAACAGAUUCCUCGAUCCUCACCCAUUAUAGGCUCAUACAGAUCGAGUUCAGUUCAGGGGGACACAUUUCCCUAUGGCUGCACGGAGAUGAAAAUCUCACGAAGACAUAGGUACGAAUGUAUCCCGGAAGCAGUCCACUAUCCUGCACGGAGGUGAAAACCUCACGAAGGACUAGUUUCUCGCUCCCACUUAAGGGUAAAAUGCAAAAUGCAAAUGCAAAGUUGCCAAAGUUCCAUGAUAAAAUAUCAAUGAGUGCAAAGGGAAAAUUUUUAAAAACUUUUUGAUUUUCGACACAAAAACAAAUAUGAUCAGUUUAUGGCUCGACUCUCUAUGUCCCCAGCGGAGUCGCCAAGCUGUCGAAACCGUUUUUUGAAAACAAAAAUUUUAGUUGUCGACUUAAAAAAAACAAAAACUGGAGUCGCCACCGAUCCUUUAUUAAGGUGUGAUCGGCCCACCUUAAAAAUAAUUUUGGUCUGCGAAAUUCGAGAAAAUAGGCUCGGGAGUCAGUUACGCACGAGGAAGGAUUAGCACCCUCGUAACGCCCAAAAUUGGUACCAAAUUGAUUUUUUUUAAUGCCUUGGUGUCGAAAAUUUGAAAAGAUUUUAAAAGGAAACUUUUUAUUUCAUGAAUGGAUUAAAAUAAAAAGACAUUCGUAUUUCAAAGAAAUAAAACACCACACCCAGUGAGUUAGGGCACAAUGUUUUUAAAUCUUCAAAAUACCCGAAUAUUGCCUUUUGCUUUUGAAAAUUCUUAUUUCGAGAAGAAAAUGUCAUGACCAGUAAGUUAGGACCCAACAUUUCGAAUUCCCGAGAAUAAGUUUUUAUUUAAAAUUUGAAUUUAUUGCAAAACAAAUAUUUGGCUUUCUAAACUCAUCGAAAAAUAAUCGCGAUCCAAUAAGUUAGGACACGAUCUUUCACGAGAAUCAUGAAUACUAAAUAUUUUGGAAUUUAUAAAAUAAGAUGAUUUAAAUACUUUGAGAAAACAUAUAUUUUCUUUNNNNNNNNNNNNNNNNNNNNNNNNNNNNNNNNNNNNNNNNNNNNNNNNNNNNNNNNNNNNNNNNNNNNNNNNNNNNNNNNNNNNNNNNNNNNNNNNNNNNCACAAGUAAAUUUGAAAAUAUGUGCAUGCGUAUGUUUAACACACAUACACAAAUAUACAUAAAAAACAUGCAUAGCAUAACUUAUAAUAAUCUCCAAAAAUAUGUACGUAUAUUUCAUAAAACAUGCAUAUGUACAAAAAAAAUAGAAAAAAAAUGCAUAUGCCUUGUAAAAUAUGAGAGUACAUACAUAUAUAUAUAUAUAUAUACAUAUUUAUUUAUAAAAACUAUGUAAACAAAAUAUAUAUAAAAUAUGAGCGUAUAAGGACUAAAAUAUGUAUGUAAGCAUAUAUAUAUAUAUGAACGUAAAACUAUGAGAAUAAAAUAUAAAAACGUGUGGAUGUGUACAUGUUUAAAAAAAUGUAUAAACACAUAUAUAUAAAAUAUAAGGUAUAAAAAUAUAAAGGAUAAAAGAUAGAAUAAAGGAAAUAAAAUGUAUGUAAAACGUAUGCAUGCAUUUUAAAGCUUAAGGAUGUAUAUAUGCUAGAAAUGAAAACAUGAAAAGUGAAUAAUAAAAGUUAUACGUUUGUAAAAAACGAAAUAUAAAACAAUAUGUAUAUACACGUACAUGAAAAUCAUAAAUGGAAUUAGUGUAAUAAUAAUAGUAAUAAUAAACGUGUAACAGUAUAUUAAAAAAAGAAAAAAAACUAAAUAAAGUAAAGAAAAGACCAAAUUGAAUAAAAAAACCAAAAAAAUAGGGGCAAAUUCGAAAAUAAUAAAAAAGGGAUGAAUUCGAACACGCGAGCGGCAAUGGGGGACCAAAAGAGCAAUUUACCCAGGCCUCCAAAACGCUGCGCUGAAGGGGACUGAAUUGAAACGUGAAUUGAAUAUGCGGCCCAAUUUUAAAACAAAAAAAAAGAUUUAAUUGACAUGCGCUGCAAAAGGGAGGGGUCAAAUGCACAAAUAACCCAUAUGACGUUAGAACGCGCGGAUCCUCCCCUCCGGGUCGGGUCACCGCGCGAGUCACACUUGACCAAAACGACGCCGUUUUGAAUGUUGUUUAAAACAAAAAUUUUCCUUCCAAAAAAAUCCAUUUGAAAUCGAAUGGGAAAAAAAAAAAGAAACUCCGGCGCUCUGCUAGGGUUCAAUCCCUAGCGUCCUUGCGCCGCCACUCAAUCGGCCCUCUCACCAAACUCCGAUCACGACAGAGAUGGCGGUGGCACGGCGUUUUUAGGUAUGUUUUCCUCCCUUUUUGUUAUUUCAAAUGAAAUAAAAUGAAAAUAAAGAAAAAAAUGUAAAAACGAUAAACACUUUUAACAAUAAAAAAGAAAUCACCUUUAAAACAAAACAAGUUUUUUUCUGCUUUUAUUCCCGAUUCUCUCCGUCAAAAAUCCGUCCUUUUUACAGAUAAAAGUCGGCCUUUUAUAGCCUGAAAACCUAUUUGUUUUACACUAUAUUUUCGCUAAUGGACUCUCUGAAUCCGUGUUUGCAGGUGCGUGGAGAGUGGAGGCCGAAACGUGCGGAGGCUGCAGGAGGCUGUUGCGGCGCUGGGCAUGGGCUGCUGAGGCUUGCGGCGCUGAAGCAGAGAGGCUCUAGGGUUUCUGCUUUCAACGUUUUUGGUGUAUUGGGCUUGAACGGCCCAUUUUUGUUUUGUAAAUGGUCUGGGCCAAUUGGGCCUUAUUACACGUAUUAUAUAUAUAUAUAUAUAUAUAUAUAUUAUAAACCAAUGGCUAAAAAUUUUUCUAAUCCUUCUAGCUUUCUUUAUAUGAGAGUCGUUAAAUUUUAGUUUUGAUUCGUAUACUUUGCUCAAAUUUUAAAUUUAAUCUAUAUACUUUAAUUUUUCAUAAUUUAAUUUCUCAUCCUUUUUAAUAUCAUUAGUUAAUUUAAAUAUUUUAUUCCAAAAACUUGAAAUAUAAUAAUUUAAUUAAAAGAAUAAAUAAUCAACACGAAGCAUGGGUGAGAAUCAUAAAUCAUGCAUGACUUCUAUCAUUAAGUAUCCUUAGCAGUCUUUUUAAGCUGUUAUUAUUAUAUUAUUAUUUUAUUCGUGCAUUGAAAUUAAAUCAAAUCCGAAUAUAAUACGUAAUUUCUUUUUGACCGGUCCAAGAUUAAGUUUAAUAAAAUCUAUUUGCUGUAUAUUUAUUAUUAAGAAACAUUGGUCUUAGUACGUCUCCUUUAGAAUAUUUACACUUAAUUCGCAUUAAAUAUAAAAUAUGAUUAUAAUUAUUUAAAUUCUUUUGUUUGGAAAGGAUAAAAUAUGAAUAUUUACACUUGAAAAGUAUUUUGUUUAAUAGGUUGGUUUGUCUUAAUUUUGAAUAUGGAAAUUAAGUUAUCUUGGAAAAGGAAGUUACAUGAGAGAAAAACUUGUUAAUCCUUAGAAUUUUCAGCAUUUUUAUAGUAAUUUUGAAAUGGUUAAUAUUAUUGUUGAGUAUGACUUAUAGUUAAAUUUAAGAGAUAAUCUCUUAGUUAAACUCUGUUUAUUUGUUUCAGUUAAAUUUUGAUUAGUCUAGAUUAUUUUAUUAUUAUUUGACCUACGAAUUUAGCCUAUAAAUAGGAUCUUUUACAACAUUAUAAAAAACACCCAUUAAAAUAUUAGAACUCAUAACACUUUUGGAGAAUUUUGUAUUUACAUUUUGAGGGUUCUUUUUUUUAGGUUUCGGGGUUUAGUUUUUAUCUUCAUCUUUUGUAAUUUUUAUUUUUUUGUCAUUAUAGUAAAAUUAUCUUUAUCCGUGGUUUUUUAUCCUCUUUGGAGGGGUUUUUUUCACGUUAAAUUUGUGUGUUCAAUUUCUCAAUUGCUUCCGCUAUUUUUUACUUGUUUGUUGCUUAAUCGGAUCAAUUCCCAACAAUCAUCAUAUAAUAUUUUUUAUAUGUUGCUAGUGAAUUGAGGACAUAUUUCUAAAAUUUAAAUGAAUUUUUUCUUUUGUAUUCUUUAUAUUCAUUUUACGGUAAUGCAUCACAUAUAAAUCCAUUUUAAAUUGAAAUCCAUGUUUUAUCAUUUACAUUAUCUUAUAUUAUUUUGAGCUAAUUCAAUCAAUUGUCUCUAAAUUAUUGUCAAUAUUUUUAAGGUAUAAUGUCAAAUUGUUUACAUCUUUUUUCAGUUUGGUUCUUAUUCUUUUUUGAGUUAUAAAUUUGGCCCUCAAUUUUUUUUAAAAAAUUGUCAAAUCACUUUUUAAUGAAAAUAUUCAUUAAAACCUUAUUUUUUAACGAUGUUGGUAUGUCAACCCGUGUGGUAAUCCACGUGUACUUCAUGCUAACAUGACACUUUAUCUUAUAUAUCACACCAAGAAAUAAUUUAAAUUAUAAAAAAUUCCAAAAAAAAACGAGAGCAUGAAGUACAUGUGGAUUGCUAUGCGAGCUGUCAUGUCUAAAAACCUAAUGUUUAGCUAAUAUUUCCGUUAAAAAAAUAACAAUUUAAUUUUUUUUGAAAGGUUGAUGGUCAAAUAUGAUUUUUUUUUAAAGGUCGUGAGCCAAAUUGAUAAAAAAAAAUGUAAACAUUAAGGGAUAAAUUUGACAUUAUGCCAAUUCUUAAUUAGUUUUAAACUUCAAAAUAUGUUAUUGACAUGGUAUCAAAUAGGUUUUCCAUUAGCAUAGUAGUUAAUUUAAGUGUUAAAUGUCAAUUAGGAUAUAAUGUGGAGCCUACUUAAAACAUGAAUUAAAUUGUAAAUUUGAGUAUUGUCACUUCCCAAAAAUAAGGCUAGAAGAAAUAGGGAUAAAAUUUAGAUUUUAUUUUUUUAAGCAUAGGGUAAAAGAAUUUAGAAUGCCUUAAAAAUUAUUUUUGAUAAGAAAUUAACAAGAAUUAGUCUACUAGUUCAUUGGUAAGGCCUUAGCUUUCUCUUGGGUCUCAAGUUUGAAAUCUCUUGUUCACCUUUCAAGCAAAAUAUUUUAUUUUCUUAUUUUUACCCCAUAAAAGUGCCGAAUUUUCAAACUAGCCCAAACCAAAAAUUGUUAUUUUCUAAUUUAGUCCUUAAUUUAAAAUAGUCUUGCUUCUCCAUGGAAUCCUAAAACCUAUUUCAAUUAGGGAAAAAGAGUUUUAUAAUUAGGAAAUCUUUUCAAAACUCUAGAAAUUUUAUCUAGUGAAUUUUUCAAGGAAAACUCUCAAGUUCUUCAUUUUCUCCAUCAUUACCAAACCAAUUUUCAAGCAAAGAAAUCCAAGGUUUCCAAAAUCGUCCCUCUCCUCCCAAGUAGACCAUCAUUCUCCUCAUCCAAAUUAAGGUUUUUGUGUCUUCGAAUCAGGUGUGGGAUCUAAACAUAAAUCAUUAUAUAUGAUUAACUGUAGUGUUAGGAAGUAAUAAGACUGCUAUGCAACCCCUCAUGUUAUGCGAACCCCCUUGCAUGUGCGAGCCCUGUGUGUGAUCCCCGUGUGCAAAACCCCCUAUGUGUGAGCUUGUGAGCGAACCUCUAUACGCGAACCCCUAUAGAUGAACUAUAGCUUGUAUAUACAUAUGCAAACCCUCAUGAUUUUUAGUAUAGGAUUUAAGUUGCAAACCCUAUAUAUAUUACGCGAGGCAUAUAUAUCAUGCGCACCCUAAACAUACUUUGCGAGCUUUAUAUAACAUGCAAACCCUAGGUAAUAUGUGAAUCGAGUAUAUCAUGCAAACCCUAGGUCCUAUACGAGCUAUAUAUAUCAUGUGAACCAAAGCUUGCAUAUCAUGAAAAUCCUAGGUACUAUGCGAACCCCCUGUGUUACAAACCCCCUGUAUGUCCGAACUCUGUUAGGCGAACUGAAGCAUAUGUGCGAACCCUACAUGUACGAACCCCUAGGUGCAAACCCUACAUGCGCUAACCCAUAUGUGCAAUCCUAUAUGUGCGAACCCUGUAUGUGCAAACCCUGCUUAUGUAUGUGUUAGCCGAACUAAGAAUGUUAAUAUGCAUGAAGAUAUUGUAUAUGUGAAAUUGUUUUAGAUCGCUUAAAUUAAUUGUAUAUGUGAAAUUGAUGGGAAUGGAUGAAUGAUCACAUGCCAUUAAAUGAUAGUAUGAAAUAUCAAAUGAAGCAUUGAAAGAUGAUAAAUAGCAUAAUAUGCUAAUUGUAUGUGCAUAAUUACAUGAAUUUAGGUAAGAAGGUCGAAGGAGUUCCAUAGGAGAUAGUGGCAAUUCAAGUCCACACCAAAAGUCAGUAUUGCACAGAGUAGGUGGCUAUGUCAUCAAAACUGGAUAAAUCAGGAUGAUAGUUUAAAAAGCCAUAAAAAAUCGGGUAACUGAGAUGGUAAGUUAUUGUUGUAAAAGUCAUCGUCACAUAUGACAAGUGAACGACCAUCGUCAUCGGAAAUCAAAUCCGAGAUGGUUAGUUUUUUUUAUGUGUUUUGGUGUGUCGAGCGAUGCUUGAUGGCGAUUAAGAUGGACAGGUUGGAAAUUAAAUUUAUAAUUGCAUUUGCAUCAUGAAUAAACUAUAUAUGCAUUGAAUCACUACAUGUUCCUUACAUCAGCUUAACUUGUAUUAUGCUUGAUUUGUUAUUAUGCUAUAAAUUAAAUUCUAUAUUAUUUGAAUGAUUAUAUAUAACGGUUUAAAAAUUAGACUCACACUGAGCUAUCAUAAGCUCACCCCCCAUUUCUUUACCUCUUAGGUAAUGCAGGAAACUAGGUCUCGGAAUGGCAUAAGAAGAACCUCGAAUUAGCAACUUGUUUUGGUUUUAUUUAAAAGUUUCAUUAAAAGUUUUCCUUAAUAAUUUAUUUUUGGGUUUGUAAUUAUUAAGUAUUUUCUCGUUUUUAUAUCAUAGGUUUGGGAUUUGUUUAGCUUAUUUAUUUUAAGCAUGUCAUUUGAUUAUUACUCUAAUAUUUGCAUGCUAUUCAGUAUAGGAAACUAUUAUUCUAAAUGUUUUCUGCUGCUUUACAAAAUACUUAAAGUUUUGAUAGGUCUUUUCUUAAAAACUUAAAAGUCGUUUUCUUAAAACUUCAUAUCAAUUAUACUGUAGAUGAACUAAUAAGUCAAAUUGGUUUAAUGAAUGAAUGUUUUUCUAAAAACAAAAGAGUAUUUCCAUACAAAUCAAACGCAUCUAAAAAGAACGGUUUUACAGGAUCACUUCGGUGAUCGAAUGUAAUGCCUUUGACUUAGCCGAAACUCCUAGGCCAGGUCGAGGAUGUUACAUAUAUAUAUAACUACGACAUGAAAAACCUGGAUUUGACGUAUUAAAAACUAGUAUCAAUUAAAUUUUAUCUAUGCAAUAGAUAUAUAUGUUUUUUAUAAUUUGAUCUACGAAUUUUAAAUAUAUUUCAUCUCAAAUUUGAGUUGGCAUUUAAUGCCUAAACUAAUUGUUGAAUUAAUAAAAGGACUUAAUUGAUAUGAUAUGAUAAUUUGAGAACUAAAUUAAAACAUUUUAAAAAUUAAAGAUGAAUUUAAAAUCCCAUAAUUUGAGAACAUUGCGUCUAAUGUGUUUAUGGUGAAUUGUAAACAAAUCCUUGGUCAAACCUGACAUGCUCUAUAAAAAUCCAUGAAAAAUCAGUUGUAAAAAGGUAGAAAAGAAAGGCAAAUACUUUCAGAUGCUUAACCGACUUCAUUCAAUUUUUAUUUUCAUAUAAAAAAUACUUAAUAUAUUUAAUAUAUAUUUGAUGGUUGAAUUUUUUACAUAAAAUAAAUUAAAUUUAUAUAAAAUUUGUUAUGCAUAAUUUAAAGGAAUAAACCAUAAAACAUAAUGGUUUUAUCGUUAAAAUAUUAAUUAUAUAAAUAAUUAUAAAAGUGUAUAAAAUUACUUUAAUUUUUAUUAAUUUUUAAUUUCUUCGUUAUUAUUUUUAUUAAUUUUUUUUAAAAAAAUUAUAAAAUAUUUGAUGUUUAGAAUUUUAAGAAUGAUACAUAUAAACAAUUUCUUUUCUUAGUUUUUAAAUUCAUCCAUUUAAAAACAAUUCUGAUAUCCUAAAGAGAGUGGGUCAAAUAAGUAACAAAUUUAUUUAUUUUAAAAUGCUAACAAGUAAACAAAUACAUUUGAUCACUAAGGAUUAAAAGAAACAUGACAAACAUUUUUUAAAGUAAAAUUUUAAAACUUUAUAUCAAAAUAAGUCAGUAUUUUGAAUACUAUAGAGUCGUAUUGUUCUUUCUUUCCAAUCAUAUUUCCUAGGAAAUUAAUAUAAGAUUACUGGUCAAAAGUUUUGUGAAGAGUAUGUCAAAAGCAGAGAAAAGAAUAAAUAUCAUUCAUGCCCUCAAACAUUUUGAUCGAACUGCAAAAGUUUAAAGUAAAUAGAGGAUAUUUAAACCUUUUUUACAGACAUCAACUUUGAAUCAAAAGAAUCAAACAAAAGACAAAUCAACAUUUCUUUUAAUCUAUUUGUAUUUCUCAUGCACUUUGUUUUCUUGAAUUUAAGUUCUCCUUUUUUGACUUCAAAUAUCACCACUAUUUUUCUUACCUAUAAAUACAUGCAACAAUUGCACUCUUAUCCUCACACAAAUUCUGUGCCAAAUUUCAAGAGCAAACCAAGAAAAGGCUGCAAAUUCAGCUUUUCAAUAUCUGCUUUUGAUCAAUCGAAAUGGCUUCACAAGUUUCUCAAAUGCCUUCUUCAUCACCCCUUUCUUCCAAUAAGGAUGAAAUCCGUCCCAAAGCCGAUUUUCAGCCUAGCAUUUGGGGAGAUUUCUUCCUCAAUUGUCCCGACAAGGUAUACAUACAUAUCACCAUAUUGAUAUAAUCUUAACAUAUUAUUUGUUCAAUUAUUUAGUGAUUCAAUAUGAAGAAAAUUUUCAUUGUUUUGAGCAGAAUAUUGAUGCUGGAACUGAAAAACGCCACCAACAAUUGAAAGAAGAAGUGAGGAAGAUGAUUGUGGCACCAAUGGCUAAUUCGACCCAAAAGUUAGCCUUCAUUGAUUCAGUCCAAAGACUGGGUGUGAGUUACCAUUUCACCAAGGAGAUCGAAGAUGAACUAGAGAAUAUCUACCAUAACAACAAUGAUGCCGAGAACGACCUCUACACUACAUCUCUUCGAUUCCGACUACUCCGAGAGCAUGGAUACAAUGUUUCAUGCGGUAAUUAUUGGAACAGAAACAUAGUGUUUUUAAGUUUCUUGAGAAUAUAAUAGCAUGGAAUGUUUGAUAACGAUAUUUCAUUUUGGGUAAUUUCAUGUCAGACGUAUUCAACAAGUUUAAAGACGAGCAAGGGAAUUUCAAGUCAUCCGUGACAAGCGAUGUUCGAGGAUUGUUGGAACUUUACCAAGCUUCCUAUUUGAGGGUUCAUGGGGAAGAUAUAUUGGAUGAAGCAAUUUCUUUCACCACCAACCAUUUAAGCCUUGCAGUAGCAUCUUUGGACCAUCCUUUGUCCGAAGAGGUUUCUCAUGCUUUGAAACAAUCAAUUCGAAGAGGCUUGCCAAGGGUUGAGGCAAGGCACUAUCUUUCAGUAUACCAAGAUAUUGAGUCCCAUAAUAAGGCUUUGUUGGAGUUUGCUAAGAUCGACUUCAACAUCUUACAAUUUUUGCAUAGGAAAGAGCUAAGCGAGAUUUGCAGGUAUGUUUUUUAAUCUCUUUCACCCAUUUUUUCUUUUUCAUCUUAUUUAUUUAUUUAUUUAUUAGUGGAAGGAGGGUUGAAUUUAUUGGAGACAUCAUUCUCAGUAUAGGAGACAAGUUGCAAAUGCUAAUAUUUGAAUCUUAUUAAAUAGUACAAGUUAAAAGUGAUGGCAUGAACCUUGGAUUCAUCUUUUUCACCUAUAUCAUUUUACUUAUAAAUAUUUUAAUAUUUGAGGUUGCCAAUUGACUUAAAUCUAACAACAUGAAUGUGAAACUAAUUGAAACAUUGAAUAUUAAUUGUGCUAAUGGGGUUUUUUAUGAUAUCAUUUUUUAGGUGGUGGAAAGAUUUAGACUUUCAAAGAAAGUUGCCAUAUGCAAGAGAUAGAGUGGUUGAAGGCUAUUUUUGGAUCUCAGGAGUGUACUUUGAGCCCCAAUAUUCACUUGGUAGAAAGAUGUUGACAAAAGUGAUAGCAAUGGCAUCUAUUGUAGAUGAUACAUAUGACUCAUAUGCAACAUAUGAAGAGCUCAUUCCAUAUACAAAUGCAAUUGAGAGGUUAGAUUUCUUUAAUUUUGUUGGUAAUAGGUUAGGUUUCUUUAGUUGAAGUUAACAUUCAAUAAUAUAUUACGAGGAAUGAUUAAAUAUAACGUUGAAGUUGGAUUCAGGUGGGAUAUCAAAUGCAUAGAUGAACUUCCUGAAUACAUGAAGCCGAGCUACAAGGCACUAUUAGAUGUUUAUGAAGAAAUGGAACAACUGGUGGCUGAGCAUGGGAGACAAUAUCGUGUUGAAUAUGCGAAAAAUGCGGUAUGUACAUCAACAAACAUUUAUUUUGUACAAAAGAGAUAAGAUCUUAGCUAAAUUCUAGAUUUGAAUAAACAACUAACUCGAAUAACAAUAUAUAAUCAUUUAAAUAUUAUUAUCGAAUUUGAAUUGAUAUUAGUGAUAAUUGUUGGGAUUUUUUCGCUUCAGAUGAUACGACUUGCUCAAUCUUAUCUUGUGGAGGCCAGAUGGACUCUUCAAAACUACAAACCAUCAUUCGAGGAGUUUAAGGCUAAUGCAUUGCCAACUUGUGGUUAUGCCAUGCUUGCUAUUACAUCUUUCGUCGGCAUGGGAGAUAUCGUAACACCAGAGACCUUUAAAUGGGCAGCCAAUGACCCUAAGAUAAUUCAAGCUUCCACAAUUAUUUGUAGGUUUAUGGAUGAUGUUGCGGAACACAAGGUAUAAUAAUAUAUUUAGAUAACCACAGGAAACCGAACUCUUAACUAAAUAAUUCAAUGUCUUUGUAACAAAAUCAAACGAUGGUUUUUAUCAUGAUCUAAAAAAAAAUAAAGUUUAAUGUUUAUAUAUAAAAUGUUUAGUCUCAAAUUGAAGAAUAAGAAAAGAAAUCUAGUUUCAUUUUAGGGCUUUUAGUGAGGAAGUAUUGUCAAUAAAUGUAUUUUAUCGUCACAAACAAAGGUAGUUUAAUAAACUGAUAGAUUUUAGGGUAUAUAGUGAUAGAAUAAUUUUGAUUUUAUUAUGGCUGCAGUUUAAGCAUAGGAGAGAAGACGAUUGCUCAGCAAUAGAGUGUUACAUGGAAGAAUAUGGCGUAUCAGCACAAGAGGCAUAUGAUGUAUUCAACAAGCAUGUUGAGAGUGCCUGGAAGGAUGUGAAUCAAGAGUUUCUGAAACCAACAGAAAUGCCAACAGAAGUUUUAAAUCGUAGCCUAAACCUUGCAAGGGUGAUGGAUGUACUUUACAGGGAAGGAGAUGGAUAUACAUAUGUUGGAAAAGCGGCUAAGGGUGGAAUCACUUCAUUGCUUAUUGAACCAAUUGCACUUUGAAAUUUAUAUUAAAUUUUCCUCUUCAAGCAUCUUCC